GACGUUAAAGGGGAGGUUACCGACGAAGAGCUUGAGGUCAGAAGAGAAGGAUUGCUCCCGCCGCGGGGGAGGAGGAGCGUCGUCGUCAGCGAAGAUGCCGUCUUCUUCGACUGAGAAGUCGUCAGUAACCGCGACGUUACGGACGAAGCGAGAGGAAGCGGCGGAGAUGGAGAGGGAGAGGGAGGCGGAGAGGGAGUGGAGAUUGAAGGAGAGGGAAGGAGGUGAGAGGGAAGCGGAGGCGGGUCUGGAGAUGGAGAAAGGAAGGGACUUGGGGGUGAAGGUGGAGAGAGCGAGAGAGGAAGCUGAAGCAGCCAUGGUGAAGAGAUGAGAAGAGAUAAGGUUUGUUUUUAGCUUUAGGGGUUUUUUGAGAGUGGAGAUAAGAUGGUGUGUUUCUGAUAUUUAUGGGCCAAAUGGGAAUAAAUAUCUUUGCACAAAAUAUCUCAUUCUGAUUUUUAUUUACAAAAUUUGCCUCAAAACUUUAUUUUAUUGCUAAAUAUUCUGCUGCUAAUAAAAUUUGUCAAAUUUUGAUGAAUUUAUCUUAACGUCAUCUCUAAAAAAAGUAUGUAUUUAAAAAAAAUAUAGGUUUUCAUAAAUUUGUACACAAUUUUUUUAGAAAAUCUUAAUUUUCAAAAUAUUUUGUAUUUUCUCACUUUAGUGGUGUUAUCUUUAGUGAGAUGACAGAUGAGAUGAGAUCUAAGCCGUAGAGUUUUGGAUGGACAGUGGAGAUGGCACGUCUCAUGCCAAGGCCCCAAAAAUAUAAAAAAUCUAUAAGAUAGGAUAUUUUAACUAAAAGCCAAUGGAAUUAACAACUCUCGUUCCAGCACAGAUCUUUAACUCCAAUAAAUUCAGAAAACAAUACAGUUCCUUUAAAGAAAACCACUGAAUCAUACAAAGGUUGCUCCAUUCAAAACAAGUUAAUAAGAAACUAUUUAUUUGGAUAACAAUAGAAGACUGAAGUUCUUGAACUGCAAAACGCUUUUAGGAUCUCUUCAAUUGGAGGGUCAUCUCCAGCUUCUUUGUCCUGAAACGUUCCAACAAACAAGUUGUUGAGUACGAGAUUGUGAUUAAUUUACCCCUUUGAUUACAUUGACAUGGUGUAAACACAAGUAUUUGAUCAAAACGUGUUACCUGGUCCAUACUCCCCGGUCCGAUCAAAACAUGAGAAACACCAGAUGCAUCCAUCACAUGCUAAGAAAACCUCAAAUGUAUCACUUAAUGAAAUGAUCAAAACCACAUCAAGAUUUUGACAUUGUUGUUUUUACUCCGGGAAAGCCGAAAGAAAUAAGAAAAAUCCUAACUUUAAGUUUUAGUUAGAAAAAAAAAUCAAAUUAAAAAAAUCUCGUGGAGUGGAGUUAUUACACGUUGCAUAGAUGACGUAAGCAUUGUCCGAAACAGAAAAAGUCAAACGCCACGUAAGCUCAGUAAGGGUAAAAAGUUUUGGAAAGGUAGAUCCUUUUCUAAAAGCGAAUGUUCCUUCUUUGCACGUUCAAGCGAUCUCAAGCCGCUCCUCUCUCUCUCUCUCUAUCAUCUCUGAAAUGGCGAGAGUACUGCGUGUGGCGAGAUCCUCCUCCUCCCUCUUCAGCUUCGGAAGCAGAUCUUAUUCAGCCGAAGCUAGCCACGUGUCCUCUCCCCCUCCUCCGUUUCUUGGAGCUCGCAGAGACGUUACCAAGGAGAGAAACGUGCAGUGGGUGUUCCUCGGUUGUCCCGGUGUCGGGAAGGGGACUUACGCCAGCAGACUCUCGAGUCUCCUCGGUGUUCCUCACAUCGCCACCGGAGAUCUCGUCCGUGAUGCGCUAGCUUCUUCCGGACCUCUCUCCCGACAGGUUCUUGUUUCACUUUAUGUCCAAAUGAAUCCCAAAACGACGUCGUUUUCUGUUUAAAUCUGCUAAAAGUUCAUGUGUCUACCAACAGAUCUAAUGAACUAGUGUUUGUUUUGUCCUAACGGAUCUGAUCCUUUUUCUAAUAAUAGUCAACGGCUCUCUCCUCUUGCUUGUAUUGAGAUUCUUAUUACUUGAUUGCAGCUAUCAGAGAUUGUAAACCAGGGGAAGCUUGUUUCUGAUGAGAUCAUAGUGAACUUAUUAUCAAAGAGACUUGAAGCUGGUGAAGCCAAGGGCGAAUCAGGUUUCAUUCUUGAUGGCUUUCCUCGUACCAUGAGACAAGCUGUAAGUUAAUUCAUUGACUUCACAUCAUAUUGAGCAAAGUUUUGAAUGAUUAAUCUUUGUGUUUUCAGGAAAUAUUAGGAGAUGUCACUGACAUCGAUCUAGUGGUGAACUUAAAGCUACCUGAGGAGGUUUUGGUUGACAAAUGCUUAGGGAGGAGAACGUGUAAUCAAUGCGGUAAAGGUUUCAAUAUAGCUCACAUCAACUUAAAGGGUGAGAAUGGGAAACCAGGAAUCAGCAUGGAUCCACUUCUCCCUCCACCUCAGUGUAUGUCAAAGCUCAUCACUCGUGCUGAUGAUACUGAGGAGGUUGUGAAAGCUAGGCUCCGUAUUUACAAUGAAACCGUAAGUCCUCUUUCUCUCUCUCUAUUGUUCUUCCCAUUUUAGCGAUGCUUGAUGCUUUGAAUGAUGUGUGCAGAGCCAGCCUCUUGAAGAGUACUACCGUAUCAAGGGAAAGCUGAUGGAGUUUGACUUACCUGGAGGCAUCCCUGAGUCUUGGCCAAGGCUGUUAGAAGCUUUAAGGCUUGAUGAUUACGAGGAGAAGCAAUCUGCCGCGGCGUAGUUCAACUACAACUCCGGUUUAUAAUUCUUUGCAUGUGGAAGACAUGUGCCUAUAUCAGUUUUGUGUUGGAAAAUAAAGAAAACCUUAGAUUGUUUUUUUUUAUUGCCUCAGAUCAGAAUAAUCAUCAUCAUACACACUUUGCAAACUAUAUGAUGUAUCAUGAUUGUUUAUGAGUUUGCUAGUUACAGGAAUGUAUAAACACUUUGGUACACUUUUGAUUAUUUAUUGUUGAAUGUGAUCAAUGAUUGUUUAUGAGUUUGCUAGUUACAUUACAUGAAUGUAUCAAUACUUACACUGCUUGUUACACAUCAGGUUUGAUGUUUGGGCUCUUGUGAUUAGUUUGUUUAUUGUUGAAUGUGUGUGAUAAUAUUGCGGCUGGCCGAGCUGGCUGGUUAAAGAACACAACCAGACAGUAAAGUAAAACAGUCGCAUACAUUAAAGAUUUUGUGGAACGUAUAACCAGCUCCUGUCUGUCCUAGAAUUGGCGGUUCGGGAUAGAACUGUUCCUUACAUACUGGAACUUCCAGUAGAAUUUGAUGCUAAUUGUUGGUCCUAAACUAGUGUGUAUCAGUUGCUAUGUGAUCUCAUAACUGGACCUUAUCUUAUGGUUUGUGCUUGAGGUUUCUGAGAAAUCGCUGGGUUCAUUUGAUUCUUCUGGUUUGACAAUUAGUUUCUUGUUAUGGACACGGUGAAAUCAGACUCAAAUCGGUGGAAUAAGACAGCCUCAAAGAAGGCAGACAUAAUCAUGUUUGCUCUUGAUUCAUCUUCAAUCUCAACAGGACAUUAAAAUCAAUUUGUAGCUUUAUUUUGUUAGUAUAUAGAUUUGAUGAAAUAAACAACCUUUAAAUUAUAAAUAUAAAGAUGAAAAUAUUCUUAAACAUGAAACCGUUUUGAUCAAGAUUCAAAAAAAACUUCAUUAAAAGAUAGGGACAUCUUCUGAAACAUAUCCAAAAAGCUCUAAUGAAAAACAGCAAGAUAAGGUCUUUGAGAUGUAAUGCAAACUCAAGGCCUAGGAAGAUCCUCCUUAACGGUUGGCCUUCGCAACUCUCUCAAUCUCAUCCUUCUUCUUGAUGGCAUAGCUGCAAAAAAACAAGACAAGAUGCUAUUAGUAUUUAGCAACAAACAAACACAAUUUGUGAACCCGCUUUAAGAGACAAGACAAUGUAAAGAUGUUUACCUGUUGGAAGAUCCCUUGGCAGCAUUGAUGAGCUCAUCAGCAAGGCACUCAGCGAUUGUCUUGAUGUUUCUAAACGCAGCUUCACGUGCACCAGUGGUGAGCAAGAAGAUGGCUUGGUUCACACGUCUUAGAGGAGAGAUAUCAACAGCCUGCCUCCUAACCACACCAGCAGAUCCAAUCCUCGUCGCAUCCUCACGUGGACCACUAGCUCACCAAUAAAACACACACAACAUUAGAAAAAAAGGUUUCUAGUAACACGCAAUAAAGAAUGCAACAUUGUUGUCUUACCUGUUGACAAUGGCAUCAAUGAUAACCUGAAUAGGGUUCAAGUCAGUCAAGAGAUGGAUGAUCUCCAUGGCGUGCUUGAUGAUCCUCACAGCCAUCAGCUUCUUUCCGUUGUUCCUUCCGUGCAUCAUGAGAGAGUUCGUGAGCCUCUCAACGAUUGGGCACUGAGCCUUCCUGAACCUCUUCACAGAGUAUCUUCCAGCAGUGUGGGGGACAAAGGUCGCGUGCUUAGCAGGCUGAACACCAAUGUAGUCAACAAGACUAAUGUCUGUGACCUACCCAUUCACAAAAAAAAAAAACACAAGAUCAACAAAACAAAUACUAAGAACAUAGCCAUUGUUGCCAAUUUAAAUUUUAGAGAUCUAAUAUUCAAAAACAAACCAAACAACACAGAAAGUGUUGGACUUUAAGACAAAGAAACAUCAGGAUCAACCAAGUGUACUGAGACAAUAAAACAUGAAUUGAAAAUUAACAAAAAUAAAAACAAAAAGAGGACAUUUUUUCCGACAUAACUCCAUGAGUUAUAUCUAAUUCAGACAAUGUAACUAUUUUUUUGUAAUAGACCAAUCAUUUCAUUGUAGAAUUAGAUCCUAUAAAGAUUGCAAAUGAGCUAUCGUAAACUUACCGAAACGUCAUCAAAGCUCCAGCGAUUGAAGAGCUUGACCUCGUUGGUAAGCUGCUGCUGAAUCUCAGCGUCAAUCUCAACGGCGGCGGCCAUGGCUGGAAACACCAAACAAAAGCUUAGCCACAAGCACACACGCAAACCAGAGAAUCGAAGAUGAAGAAGAAAUCAAUACCUCAAACUCGUAAGCGUCGUGNNNNNNNNNNNNNNNNNNNNNNNNNNNNNNNNNNNNNNNNNNNNNNNNNNNNNNGCGUCGUGUGGAGAUGAGACGGGACUAGGUUUAGCUGCAGCUACUGCUUGAAGAAGGUGGUGAGAAGAAACAAAAACCCUAAUUUUACUAGAGUAUAGGGUUUUUAAAAUGGAUUUUAUUGGGCCCAAUGGGCUUUUCGUAAGGCCCAGUCCAAGUCGUUAUACCAUAAGUCUUUAGAGCAUACUAGAAAGAGAGCAUUCAAUGCGGGAUGUCGACUUGCUAGCUCUCGUCCAUGCACCGUCCGUCGCCAUCAAUCCGUGAGUUUUUAUCGGUUUUUGUUCAAUGACUCCAACGAACUUUGAAAGAUUUGCCCACUCUUCCUUGCAAAUUAAUCACGAGAUCAUCGCCUUGUACUUGUUACUCCAUUUUGUCGUAUUAUCAUAUUUACUUGUUACUCCAUAUUGUCGUAUUAUCAUAUUUUUAUAAGAUAUUCACUAACAGUAACAGAUAAGUCAUUCUUAUCCUAAAGUCAUUUUAAUUCAGAGACGACAAAAUUUAGGAAAAAUAAAUUCUAGAUGAUUUAUCGAAAAAUAUUUGUGUGUAAUGUUAUAGUCAGUUAACUUAAUUCGUUUGCAAUUUCUAGGAAUAAAAAUAUGACAGUCUAAUUCGUUAAAUUAGUAUACUUUCCCAAAAAGACAAAUAAUACAAGCUGAUCUUGAAGAAUCAAUAAAUUAAUGUGAAAAUGAUAGACAAUGAACGUGAAGAUUGCUUGAGAUAUGAUAAGAUACUUUCAAUGCUCCCGACAAGAAAAGCAUUAAUUUGGACUCGUUGAUGCAUGGGGUAGAUAAGAGUGGACAGGGGAGCUUGCAGAGAUUGGAAACAAGUAUGGGGGAUCGAGUUUCAAGAGCAUCUCCUCAAGAAAUGAACAUGAGGAUGAGAACAUUUCUCGUCGACACACAAACUGCUAAGAUAAACUAUUGUGGUAAGAUAGAAUAUAUGUACCACAUCAAUGUCCUAGCUAAGAAUAGAUACCACAGCAAUGUUCUAGCAAAGCAAUAUUGUCGAAAGUUUGUUCAUCUAUAAUUUUCUUUUCCUUUUAAUUAAUUAAGAUGGGUGCAAUUUUUGCCUAGCAACACUAGAAUAUAGAAUAUGGACCACUUAUGUAAUUUAAGCAUGCAUAAUGGCACACUAUAAGUACUAGCUUUUAAAUAAAUAAAGUGAUCCUUCAAUUAAUUAGGUAUUUCAUAUUCUCAAAGUAAGUUAGGUAAUAAUACUUUAAUUUCCACACUUUCUUGACCCAAUAAAACUCCCCAAUAUAUUAUUUGUAGUCUACUUUUUUUUAUUAAAUUUGUAGAUAUUGUUAGAGGAAUAUAGUAUGUUUUCUUUUGAAUUAUUAUCUCUUUUUAUUUAUUUUUAUUUCAAAUAAUAAGUUUGUUUAUUUUUAAGAAGAAUAUCCUACCUCUAGUCAAUUCAAAUUGUUUGUUUCCGACCAUAUUCCAAUCAUGGUAAAUUACCCAAAAAGAACACAAAAUAAUGACGUUGAGACACUCUCAAAAGUUAGCACGUAACAAUUGUAGUAGUGAAAAGACGUCUAAGCAUAUUAAAUAUAUUUACACUUUGAAGACAAAUGCAUAUCUCAUUAUUGACUAUUCAUCAGAUAAGAAGCCAAGAGAGUACUCACUGAGACAUGAGUGGUGAUGAUUUGAGAAUGGAGCUUGCAGAGAUUGGAAAAAGCAUGGGGUCGAGUUUCAGGAGCAGCUCCUCAAGAAACGAGGAUGAGGCAGAGCAUGCUCUGCAGUGGGCUGAGAUCCAAAGAUUACCUAGUUUCAAACAACUGAGAUCAUCUCUGGUCGAUGAAGAAGGGGAUGAUGUGGAGAAAGGGAAAAGGGUCGUUGAUGUCACCAAGCUUGGAGCCAUGGAACGUCGUCUGAUGAUUGAGAAGCUGAUCAAACACAUUGAGAAUGACAAUCUCAAGCUGCUCAAGAAAAUUAGAAGAAGAAUAGACAGGUAUAUGUGAAAACAAAGAAACAAACCUUGUGAAUCUUGAACUGAGUUGUUACUUUGCAGGGUUGGUGUGGAGCUUCCAAGCAUAGAGGUGAGGUAUAAGCAUCUAAGUGUUGAAGCAGAAUGUGAGGUCGUUGAAGGGAAGGCGCUUCCAACUUUAUGGAAUUCUUUGAAGCACAUUUUCUUAGUGAGUAUACUUGAGAAUAUAAUGCAUUUUGCCAGUAGGUAGUAAAUUGUUGUGAACAAACGCGAAUUAACUUCAAAGAAAACAAAAAAAACUUGAAAAGAACAAAGCACGAUUGAGGCAAAUAUCAUUUUAAAAUUUGUAUAUUGAUUAUGUGAAUAAUUAAAUCUACAACAACUUAGACAGUUGUUAACAUAACUAGUAUUGAACUAUACUUUUUUCUUCUUUAGGAGUUGGUAAAGCUGAGUGGUGUAAGAACACAUGAAGCCAAGAUAAGCAUACUUAACGAUGUUAGCGGCAACAUUAACCCUGGAAGGUAGCUUUUGAUCCAAGCUUUGAGUUAGUGUGUAAUGCACGCAACUAAUGCUCUCUUCUUGUUGCUCCAAGGUUAACACUGCUGCUUGGUCCUCCUGGAUGUGGAAAAACUACUCUGCUCAAGGCUUUGUCCGGAAACUUGGACAAGAAUCUAAAGGUUUUCAGACUUUGUUUCAAUCUGAUUCUCAUGAUGCAGAUGUGUAAACCACAGAACUCUUUUGUUUUCCACAGAUUUCUGGUGAAAUCUCUUACAAUGGACACGGUCUAAACGAGUUUGUUCCUCAGAAGACAUCCGCUUACAUAAGCCAACACGAUCUGCACAUUGCGGAGAUGACUGUUAGGGAGACAAUAGACUUCUCAGCUCGUUGUCAAGGUGUUGGUAGUCGAACAGGUAAGAUGUCUUCUGAAGCAUCCGCUAAACUAUUUGCUGAAACAGAUAUAUCAAUUUUCUCUGUACCAAUGUUCAAAAAGUUGUUUGGCUAUAACUAUGCAUUUUAUAGAGGACUACCGAUUAGAUUGAUUAUUCGGGGCAGUGCUAACGAAAUAUUGAUUUGUUUUAUAUAUUUUUUACAUUUUUAUAUGAUAUUUUUUGGCUUUAAUUAUAAAACUAUUUUGAUGAAUUGUAAAAAUUAAAUAUACAAAAUAAAACAAAUUAGAAAAAUCUGUGGAUUUGCACUAACAUAAUUGGUUAAUUUAGAUUGAUUUAAACCAAUUUUAACUGAUUUAGAACAAUUCAAACCGAUUUGAAUCAUGCUCUAUACUAUUGGCUGAAACAGAUAUUAUGAUGGAGGUCAGUAAAAGAGAAAAGGAUGGUGGAAUCAUUCCUGACCCUGACGUAGAUGCUUACAUGAAGGUCCCAUUCCAUAAGCUAAUCUUUUAAGAGGGAUGAUUAUAAAACCUUUUGUUAAUCCCAUUGUGCAGGCUAUAUCGGUUAAUGGACUUAAAAGAAGUCUACAAACAGAUUACAUCUUGAAGGUAAUUUCUCUGACAACAACUCAGACUUGUAAUCCUUGUUGAUUAGCUUCUUGAUUAUGUCAUGUAUUUGCAAUUUGCAUUUCUUUUUCUUCAGAUCCUAGGGCUUGACAUAUGUGCAGAAACAUUGGUUGGUAAUGCCAUGAAAAGAGGCAUAUCUGGUGGUCAAAAGAAGCGUCUUACUACAGGAGAGAUGAUCGUUGGUCCAACAAAAGCUCUGUUUAUGGAUGAAAUCACAAACGGCUUAGACAGCUCCACAGCGUUUCAGAUAGUUAAGUCACUUCAGCAGCUGGCUCACAUCACCGACGCAACUGUGUUUGUUUCCCUUCUUCAGCCUGCUCCAGAGUCAUAUGAUCUCUUUGACGAUAUUGUCUUGAUGGCUGAAGGAAAAAUAGUUUAUCAUGGUCCAAGAGGCGAGGUCUUGAGGUUCUUUGAAGAGUGUGGGUUUAGAUGCCCAGAGAGGAAAGGUGUUGCAGACUUUCUACAAGAGGUAAGAAGCCAAGUUUAUGUUCCUUGACACUUACGUUUUGUUCUGAGUUGUUUUUGUUUUGCAGGUUAUAUCUAGGAAGGACCAAGGACAGUACUGGCUGCACCAGGACAUACCCUAUACCUUUCUCUCAGUAGACGCGUUGUCCAGGAGAUUCAAGGAGUUAGAGAUUGGGAGAAAGAUUGAGGAUGCUCUCUCUAAGCCCUAUGAUAAUUCAAAAACCCACAAGGAUGCUCUCUCUUUCAGUGACUAUUCUCUUCCAAAGUGGGAGCUGUUCAGAGCAUGCAUCUCAAGAGAGUUUCUAUUAAUGAAGAGAAACUCUUUCGUCUACCUCUUCAAGACGUUUCAGGUUACAUUCUUCGUUCCUUGUGUCUUCUUUCAAUGUUCUAGGGUUAGGUCUAAAGAAACCCUUCUUGCCCUUUAUGUUUUGCAGCUUGUUCUGUCAGCAAUCCUCACUAUGACAGUUUUUAUUAGAACACGUAUGGGUGUAGAUAUCAUUCAUGGAAACUCUUACAUGAGUUGUCUCUUUUUCGCAACCGUUGUGCUUUUGGUGGAUGGUUUGCCAGAGCUGUCUAUGACUGUUCAACGUCUUGCCGUGUUCUACAAGCAAAAGCAACUUUGUUUCUAUCCAGCUUGGGCUUAUGCAAUCCCUGCAACCGUGUUAAAGAUCCCUCUCUCUUUCUUCGAAUCUCUCGUUUGGACUUGCCUUACUUACUACGUCAUUGGAUACACUCCUGAAGUCUCUAGGUAAGAAGAACUCUAUAACCAUCUCUUGCUUGCUCCCUACUCAAACGAUUAUGGAAAGUAAUGGUUACUUGGUGUUUUUAGGUUCUUACGUCAGUUCAUGAUGCUCUUUGCUGUUCACUUCACAUCCAUAUCCAUAUUCCGAUGUAUAGCUGCAAUCUUUCAGACAGGAGUUGCUUCAAUGGCAGCUGGUAGUUUCGCCGUAUUAAUCACCUUUGUGUUCGCCGGUUUCGCCAUCCCAUACAGUAAGACUUUUGCACUCUUUCUUCAUUUCAGUCUUGUUCCAAACUUCCAUCAAAACAUGACCAGGGCCGGAUCUAGGCACAGCCCAAUAAAACAUCGGUCUCGGUCCCUAAAUUUUUUGAAAUUUUUAGUACGAAUAAACCCCUAAACUAUAGAAAAAAAAAAUUGUUUUACUAAGAUUUUUAAAUGUUUCAAGCUCCCAAAAUCUCAUAUCCGGCCCUGAACGUGACAUUGGUUUUGUUGCUGCAGCUGAUAUGCCAGGGUGGCUGAAAUGGGGAUUCUGGGUGAAUCCUAUAGGUUACGCAGAGAUUGGGCUCUCUGUAAACGAGUUUCUUGCUCCGAGAUGGCAGCAAGUAAGUAUCUCAUCUUUUUACAUACUUCUCUUCAUCAUUCUUACAAGACUAAUCAAGUUUUUCUUGUUAUGUUUUGUAGAUGCAACCAACGAAUGUUACAUUGGGGAGAACCAUACUUGAAAGCAGAGGACUGAACUAUGAUGAUUACAUGUACUGGGUCUCAUUAUGUGCCUUGCUGGGACAGACUCUCCUCUUCAAUACUAUUUUCACUCUAGCUUUGAGUUUCUUGAAAUGUAAGUUACAAAAUAUCGAAAAAUAUGCCAUGGACUAAAGCAUAAACUGAAGAGCUUCUUUUUUAACAGCUCCCACUACAUCUCGCGCUAUGAUCUCCAAAGACAAGCUCUCUGAGCUGCAAGGAACAAAAGAUUCAUCACUCAAUAAGAACAAGAAGGCAAUAGAUUACACAGAAGAUUCAGGUGAAACAUAUAUGUCUUUCUUGUCAUACAAGCAAACUCUUUAUUCUCAGUUUAGCUUUAUUGACCUAAUUCAUUCAGCAGGGAAGAUGGCCUUACCUUUUAAGCCUCUCACCAUAACAUUUCAAGAUUUGAACUACUACGUUGACGUUCCUGCGGUAAAAUCUUCUCCUCCCCAUCCUUGGAUCUUAACCAUCUUCAUAUGCAAACAUGAUCAUCAAAGGACGUUUUGACUAAUCUUAGGAGAUGAGAGUUCAAGGAUACAAUGAGAAGAAACUGCAGCUUCUCUCAGAUAUCACCGGAGCUUUCAGACCAGGCGUUCUAACAGCGUUGAUGGGGAUCAGUGGAGCCGGAAAAACAACUCUACUCGACGUUCUCGCCGGAAGAAAAACAAGCGGAUACAUCGAAGGAGAGAUCAGAAUCAACGGAUACUUUAAAGUCCAAAAAACCUUCGCAAGAGUCUCAGGCUACUGCGAGCAAACAGAUAUACACUCACCAAACAUCACCGUCGAGGAGUCUCUAAUCUACUCAGCUUGGCUCCGUCUAGUUCCAGAAAUAGAUCACAAAACCAAAAUAGUAAGCCGGCCCUAGUGAUUCUAAAAAAGGCAAGAAUGACCUAGAAAGUAACUUGACUGAAAAGAAACUCGUUGCAGAGAUUCGUGAAGGAAGUUCUUGAGACGAUAGAGCUGGAGGAGAUCAAGGACGCGAUGGUGGGAGUCCCCGGCCAGAGCGGGCUGUCGACGGAGCAGAGGAAGAGGUUGACGGUGGCGGUGGAGUUGGUGGCGAAUCCUUCGAUCAUAUUCAUGGACGAGCCGACGACGGGGCUGGACGCAAGAGCAGCAGCCAUUGUGAUGAGAGCUGUGAAGAACGUUGCGGAGACUGGACGUACCAUUGUGUGCACUAUUCAUCAGCCUAGUAUCGAUAUUUUUGAAGCCUUCGACGAGGUACAUAUGUUUUUCAAAUAUGAAAAGUAUUUAUAGUGGUUUUGUUUUAAAAGAAUACUCUCACAUGUAUUAUAUUAACAUUUUAUCCAAAAGUAGAUAUAAGAGAUUUUUUUUCUUCAAAAUAGCCUUUAUCAAAAAUUUGAAAAUUAUAGAAUAAUUGAGUUUAGGGUUUAAAAGGGAUGGGUGAGAUUAGGUUUUAUAAAUUAAAGUAACUUAAUUUUUUUUAUUUAAAUGAGUGUGUUUUGAAGAUCUGUUAGUGUUAUAUUUGUGAUAAACUUUAAAAGUGCUAUUUUGGAGUUUUGACUAUUUUGUGGAUAAUUAAGAAGAAAUUUCUUAUAACAUAUUGUUUUUAUUACAUGUUCAGUUGGUACUUCUGAAGAGAGGAGGUCGCAUGAUUUACACUGGACCACUUGGACAACAUUCUUCUCAUGUCAUACAGUAUUUUGAGGUUAGCGUGUUAUACAAGAAAAUGAGCCAGUUUAGUUUCUAUGACUUUUUCAAUGUUUUAACGAAAUAAUUAACUAUGUAUAUUUUUGUUAUUUGGGGUUAAUGAACAGAGUAUCUCUGGAGUUGCUAAGAUUAAAGACAACUACAAUCCAGCAACAUGGAUGCUAGAGGUCACUUCACAGUCUGUAGAGAUUGAACUCAACAUGGAUUUUGCAAAAAUCUACAAAGAAUCUGCUCUCUACAAGUGAGCUGAAUAUCUCAAAAACAACUGAAACCUUGUCAUUUAUUACGAGCUCAUGUGUUUUCUCUGUAGCAGGAGCAACUAUGAGCUUGCUCAGGAGCUGAGCAAACCGGAUCCCGGGUCAAGCGAUUUACAUUUCGAGAGAACUUUUGCGCAGAGCUGGUGGGAACAGUUCAAAUCUUGUCUAUGGAAGAUGAGCUUGUCUUACUGGAGAAGCCCUGCUUACAACUUGAUGCGAAUCUUUCACACUUUAGUCUCUUCUUUGAUCUUUGGUUUACUCUUCUGGAAGCAAGGUCAAAAGAUGUAAGUUAGUUGCAUAAAAUACAUUCAAAUCAUCAUUAGAGCAUGUUCAUUAGUGAGACCCUUAAGUGUCUCUUAAGUGGGGUUUAAUAAUUUUUUAACUAUUAAAUUUAAUAUAAGAGAUUUUGUUAAGAAACACUUAAUUAUAGUGGUUUAUUGGUGGUUUCUUAAUUAAGGUGCUUAACAAAUAAAAAAAUAUUAAACUUUUUUUAAACAUAAAAUUUUAAACAAAGAUUAAUUUUAUUUAUUAAAUAAAACAAAGUCAAACAUAACAUUUUAAACAUAGAUUUUAAAAUAAAAAAAAUUAAAACAUUAAAACAAAGAUUACUAAAAUAAACAAUACUAAUUUUAAAGCGGCAUCCAAGUUCAGUUGUUGUGUUGAUCACGUCCAAAUUUAUGCCAUAUAUGUUCAACCAAAUCACCUUUCAGUUGUUGAUGCGCUUGUCUAUCACGAAUUCUUGUUCGAACACCCAUCUGAUUGGCGAUAUUUGUAGGGAUAUCUGUAGAAUAUGUUAAAUCUACAUAUGAACUUCUGCUGCCUUCGCCUUGUUGGAAUCCCGAGACAUCAAACUAACUGCAUUCAUCCCGUUCGUUUUCUACUAUCAUAUUAUGGAGUAUGAUACAUGCUCUCAUAAUCUUCCCAAUCUUGACUUUAUCCCAACAAAGUGCUGGAUUUUUAACAAUGGCAAAUCGAGCUUGCAAGACUCCGAAAGCACGCUCGACAUCUUUUCGGGCAGCUUCUUGAUGUUGAGCAAAUAAAACUGCUUUCGGCCCUUGUGGAAGUGAAAUAGAUUGGAUGAAAGUUGCCUAUUUCGGAUAAAUUCUAUCGAUCAGAUAGUAAGCCAAAUCAUACUCUUUUCCGUUGACUGAGAAAUUCACUUGCGGGGCUUGACCAUUUAUGAUGUCAUCAAAAACAGGUGAGCGAUCUAGAACAUUAAUAUCAUUUAAGGUACCUGGAGGUCCAAAAAACGUAUGCCAUAUCCAGAGAUCAUAUGAAGCAACCGCCUCUAAAACUAUUGUGGGUUUCCCCGAACCACGAGAAUAUUGCCCUUUCCAAGUGGUGGGACAAUUCUUCCACUCCCAAUGCAUACAAUCGAUGCUUCCUAUCAUCCCGGGAAAUCCACGAACCUCUCCAAUAUAAAGUAGACGUUGAAGGUCAUCCGGUGUUGGUCUUCUUAGGUACUCAUCGCCGAACAAAUUUAUGAUUGCUUCCACAAAAUUUUCCACACAUAACCGAACAGUGGUUGCACCGAGCCUGAGGUAUUCGUCGACCGCAUCAAGCGCAGAACCAUAUGCCAACACACGAAUAGCUGCUGUACACUUUUGAAGCGGGGAGAGACCUUGCCUUCCGGUAACAUCCUUCUUCUGACGAAAGAAUUGGACUUCGUUGGAGAGGCGAUCAACAAUAUACAUGAACAAAGGCUUGUUCAUUCUAAAUCGACGUCGGAAUAGAUUUGCUGGAUAUGUCGGCGCGUCACUGAAAUAAUCAUUCCAUAACCGGAGAUGGCCUUCUUCACGAUUUCUUUCAAUAAAAACUCUCUUUUUCUUUUUCUUCCUUUGAUCUUGUUGAUCACCAUAAACAUUGCACAAAUUCUCAAAUGUUUGUUCGAAAGUCUGAUCAAAAUAUUUAUCGAACAUUUCAUCAAAUGACUCAUCCAAAUCAAAUGACUCAUCCGAGAUGUGAUUUGAAGACGAAGCCAUGAAAGACUUGAUUUCGAAAAUUUAAGAAUGGUGAGUGUGUGAACGUGAGAUGAAAAAGAGAAGGAAGAGAGAACAAAGAGAACCGAGAGAAUGAGAACGUAGAGAAUUGUGAGUAUGAUCAGUUUUUAUUUUACAAAGAGAAUGAAGAACCGAGAGAAGAACAUGAGACUAUAGAGAUAGAGAAUGGUAAGAGAGAAUGGUGAUUUCUUUACGCUCUCAGCACAAACAUUUUAUAACCGUCACCGUUAGAGAGAGAGAGCUCGCCGUUGUCCAUCGUCGACGAGAGAAACCCAUAGAAACGUCGACAAGCUCAACGGAGAGGGAGAGAGAGGAAACGCCGUUUCGUCGACGAGAUCACCGAGACAGAGAGAGAGAGAGAGAGAGGAAUCACCUUUUCGUCGAGGAGAGCACCGACAGAGAGAGAAAGAGCUCGCCGUUGUCCAUCGUCGACGAGAGAAACCAAUAGAGACGUCGACGAGCUCAACGGAGAGGGAGAGAGAGGAAACGCUGUUUCGUCGACGAGAUCACCGAGACAGAGAGGGAGAGAGAGAGGAAUCGCCUUUUCGUCGAGGAGAGCACCGACAGAGAGAGAAAGAGCUCGCCGUUAUCCAUCGUCGACGAGGAAUAUCCAUAGAGACGUCGACGAGCUCAACGGAGAGGGAGAGAGGAAUCGCCGUUGUCGUCACUCUUGCGGAGCAACCGAGAAGAGAAAGGAAAGAGAGAAAGAAACAAGAACGACUUCACCGUUCGGAGAGCCAAUAACGACGUGACACGUCGCCCAAAUUACCGUGUCUUCGAGCACUUAAUUAGGGGACGUCCCUUGGCUUUAUUUCGUGUUUUCCAUUUUUUUUUAUGAUUAAUUAAGUUAAGGGACAUGCUUAAGAGCUGCCUUUGAACAUGCUCUUACAUUCCUAGUAAAGAACUGUCUCACACAUUAGGAAAGUACUAUUUUAUUUCAAAAAUAGCACACAAGAAUAUUUUUUUCCAAAAGAGUAUUAACUAAAAGUAUAUGGGUGUGGAUUUAGUGAUUAUGAUUUAGGGUUUAAUAUUUAGAGAGUGGAGUUAGGGUAAGAGUUUAGGAUACAGAGUAAUUUAGUCAAUUUAAUCUUUAACUAAUUAUAGUUUGAGAAUUUUUCUCUUAUGUUCUAUUUUUGUCAUAAUUGUUUGUAUUUUUUUUUUUUUGGCAGAGAUACUCAACAGAACUUGUUCACAGUUCUUGGAGCCAUCUAUGGCCUUGUGAUAUUCUUGGGGGUAAACAACUGCACUUCAGCUUUACAGUAUUUUGAGACAGAGCGUAACGUUAUGUACCGCGAAAGAUUCGCUGGAAUGUACUCUGCCUUUGCCUUUGCACUGGCUCAGGUUGUGACCGAGAUUCCUUACAUUUUCAUCCAAAGCGCAGAGUUUGUGAUCAUAAUAUAUCCUAUGAUGGGUUUAUACGGAUCUGCCUAUAAAGUCUUUUGGAGUCUCUACUCAAUGUUCUGCAACUUACUCUCCUUCAACUACUUAGCAUUGUUCCUCAUCUCCAUCACUCCAAACUUCAUGCUCGCAGCUAUUCUCCAGUCUCUUUUCUUCGUUGCUUUCAACCUUUUUGCUGGAUUCUUGAUUCCACUACCGGUAAGUUCUUUUUGUAACAAGUCAUUAUAUACCAUUAUCAUCAUCGUUGAUCUUUACCUAUAGUUAAUAGUGUUUUUCCUUGAUGUUGAAACAAUGCAGCAAAUACCAAAGUGGUGGGUGUGGCUUUACUAUCUAACACCUCCCUCUUGGAGUCUCAAUGUGUUUUUCUCGUCUCAGUACGGUGAUAUUCAUCAAGAGAUCAAUGCAUUUGGAGAAACCACGACCGUGGCGAGAUUCUUAGAGGACUAUUUUGGAUUCCAUUAUGAUCGUUUGAUGACUUCAGCCAUUAUUCUCAUAGCGUUUCCAGUUGCAUUGGCUUCUAUGUUUGCUUUCUUUGUUGCCAAACUCAACUUUCAGAAACGAUGAUCCAUCACACACCAACCAAAGGUUUGAAACACCAAAGGGUAGUUUACAAAUUACUGUAUGGACAUGCACGUAUUCGUUGUCACACUAUUUGUAAACACUAAACAAAUGCAAAAUUUAUUUAUAAAAUCAUAAGAAAGUUGGAUAUACUCUAAUGCAUCAAAAUAAAUAGGUCUACAACAUAAUAGUAACUCUCUUAUUUUUUUACCAUAGAGAAAUGAUCUACGGCUGAAUACUUCAAAUAUUAAUUAGUAUACUGCUUCAUGCAAUUGAAAUGAAUAGUAAAGUAUACUGCUUCCUUUAUUCAGGCACAUCAUAAUUUUCAAGAAGAAACGUCAUUUUCUUUCUUUGAUCACAAAAGACACAAGAAGAAAGAGACAUGUGUGUGUCUUGUCGUCCUCCCCAUCUCUACUAACACUUUGAAUUUAAUACUGUCAAACUCAAAGGUCUCCUAAAGCCUAAUUAAUCCCUUUAUGAUCACAUGCCCUUCUCCUUCCUCUCUCUCUCUCCAUUCUCCUAGUACCCAUCAAGAACUUCCACAAAAGUAUUAAACUGUAGCUUCAGGAUCCAACCUCAGAGAAACGGUUCUCAAUCAAGGUUAUUUGAGUAUUGGAUAUUCUUGAUUCUUGAACUCAGGAAAAGUCAUUACUAGCCUGUGAUUCUGCUUCAUGACUUGAGGUUGAAGCAACAACACUUUCUUCACCAGAAGAAACAUCUUUGAUCUUUGAACUUAACUCUUCUUUUUCUUCUUCCACGGAGGCAACAUUUUCAGUUUCUUGAUCAAUGUUUUCUUCCUCAACAAAUCCAUUUCCAUGAGUUUCUUUUUCCUCUCCUUCUUCCUUGGAAGCUGAGGUGGAAACCGAUGAUAAACAAGAAACUUCAGAUGAACUCAACUGCUCUGAUCCUUCAGAACUGCGAGACCCUUUUAUGGAUUCAAGCUUUUUCAUCAGAAACUUUAGUCUCUUCUCUGCUUUCUCCCUUAAUCUGAUCUCUUCUUUCAGAUUUUUCUCCAGCUCUUCCAUCUGUUUCCAAGAGAUUAAAGGUUUUCUUUGAAACAAAAAUCAGCUUAUUACCAAACAAAGAUUAAAAAAAAUAAAAAUAACAGAGCAAAUGAAUUUACAAGUAACAAGAAUGACUCUUUUCUUGGUUGUUGAUUAAACCCAAAUCUUCAAAAAAGUAGUGAGAAAAAGGCAUUUCUUAAACAAGAAUGAUGAUACUAAGGAUUUUAUGAAACUUACCUUUCUGGUAAUGAGGUCUGCUUCAUCUUUUACAGACCUUGAAACUUGCCUCUCUGCAAGCAGUCUCCCUCUUAGACACUCCACAGUUCUCAGAUUUCCCUUCUCUUCUCCUUCCUCCAUCUUCUUACUUGCAAAAUUUGUUCUUAAACAAAAAAAAAGAAGAUAAAAAUCAAUUCCUCAUAUACACUCUCUACAUAGAACUUUCUUAAAAUCACACAAUACGACAUAUACAUGUAUAUAAAGAGAAAGAGAAACCUGCAUUUCGUGUUGUAAUUGAAGGGAUCAAUUGUCAUACUGUUCUUUAUAUAUUCAAAAACCAGAACCAGAUUGGUAAAAGCUUGUAAAGCUCAACUUCUCACCUAACUGCAAAAAGGGUAAACUAAAAAUAAUAAGACAGUUAAGACCAAUGUGUUGUUAGAUUGAUGUCACUAUGAUUUACAUUUAUUGUUCAUUCAGUAAGAGGAACAUAUCAACAUCAUAUCUUAAAAACCAACUUACCACGACACAGUCGACACUCUUCUUUAACAAAAAAAAAAAAAAAAUCUCAAGUUCAAAUAGUAAAACAGAUCCAGUUUCAAAUUCAAACCCCCUCACUUGGUAGAGAAGAGUGAAAUGAACUUAAAACCACAAAAGUUUUGAAGUUCUCCUGAAAAGAAGAACAGAAUCUGUGGUGUAGGGACAUGUUGUAAGCAAAACGACAGUGUGGGAUUGGACUUUUGUUACCUUCUCGUGAGUUGGUUGGUAACUCUCCCACUUCAAGACCUUUUUUAUGGUUAAUAAAUUUAACUUCUUACUACAAGGUUAGUUUUAUAUUAUAUGAUACCGCAAAUAUGCAUGUGAACAAGAGGAGUCAUCCUAUUUGUUAAUAUUAAACCAUAUUGCUAUACAAUUUUAGUUUUACCAAGUGUCACAGAUCCCUUCGUCAACAAUAUCACAACAAUACAAAAACAACAUUUCUUGGCCACACAGAAAGUUAAUGCUCCCAAGUCCCAACCUCUCGCUAUAAUUUUACUAAAUAGUUUGUGUUAAUUUUCUUUUUCAAAUUAGAUAAUUAGUUACCAACACGCAAAGAAAACAUUCGAGUGAUUAAGAGCUCACUUGUACUUCACUCAAAGAUCAAAGUAAUUACCAUAACCCUUUUAAUCAAACUAUACUUAUUUUGUGAAGCAACCUAAUGAAUAUAUUCUUGUUCUUAUUAGGAACCCCGCCACUUCAAUCCAAGCCACUUAGUAACUCUCAAGUUAUAGCGAGCUUGGGUAUGAUCUUACCGAUCAUUCAAAGUUAUGUUCACUGACAACAAUAAAAACUACAUAUCAUGAAAAGCAAAAUCAUUACACAUAAACUCUUUUAGAAGCCCCACAAGAAACCCUUUUGAACUCAUUCGACUUCACGGCAAGAAAAUCAAAAAGCUUCAUCAAGCUCUUGUUUCAUGAUACACUCCUUGUCACUCAUCGACUCAACCACACCCUCUAUCAUCUCAUACAUCUCGUUGCUUCUCUCACACGAACCAUCUUUCGCAAUGAAACUUCGUAAUCCUUUACCAGUAUCGAUCCAGCUAGUUCCAGGGAUUUUCUUCAAUCCGAUUUUUUUCAUCUUAUCCCUUACCAUCUCAGCUUCUUCCCAUCUCCCUGCUUGAGUGCAUAGAUUCGCCAUGAUAGUGUAACUCCCUGUAUUUUCUGGUUACAAAAAUAGUAAUACUUAUAUAUAAAAAUUAAUUUUAUUUAAUAUAUUUUCAUUUUUAUAAUAGUAUAUAUAAAUUUNNNNNNNNNNNNNNNNNNNNNNNNNNNNNNNNNNNNNNNNNNNNNNNNNNNNNNNNNNNNNNNNNNNNNNNNNNNNNNNNNNNNNNNNNNNNNNNNNNNNUAUCAUUUUCGUUAAUGUAAUAGGAGGGCCAACCCAAACAGAGAUUGUCAUGAGCGAGAUAGACACACCAGAGAGCUUUCAGCUUAUGGAGUUUGGAGUUAUUUUCGAGGCGACGAAUCACUUUUCCGAAAGCAACAAAGUCGGACAAGGUGGUUUUGGUCCAGUUUACAAGGUAUUUUAAUUUCUCUAGCUAUUUGGACCGAAUCAAAUUAAACUUGAAUCGGCCGGUGACUUGUCUUUCAUUCAACUAAAAAACUAAUAAUAAUAAGGGAAAAUGUGAUGGUAUUGCAGGGAACCUUGCCUGAUGGAAACGAGAUCGCAGUAAAAAGAUUGAAAGCGAGAUCAUCUCAGGGGAUGGCAGAGUUCCGAAAUGAAGUGACUCUGAUUUUACGUGUACUACACGUGAACCUCGUCCGACUUCUAGGCUGUUGCAUCCAUGGAUACGAUAGACUAUUGGUCUACGAGUUCCUGGAGAAUUCUAGCCUCAGCAGCUAUAUCUUCAGUUACUCUCACUCUCUCUCUCUCUAUUCUAGAAUUUACUUGUUAUUUUGUAAACUUUAAACUUGAUUCGUUUUGUUUUUGAUUGAUUACCUCAGAUCAAACUAGAAGCCCGCUCCUAAACUGGGAGCAUAGGUUCGAUAUAAUGAAAGGUAUUGCUGAAGGAUUGUGCUACCUCCACAACUUCACAAGCCCACCGAUACUUCACCGCGACCUGAAACCAAGUAAUGUGCUUCUAGGCAGAGACAUGAUCCCAAAAAUCUCAGAUUUUGGGCUGGCUCAGAUGAUGGAAACUGGCACCACAGAAGCUGCAAUGGAAACAGCAGUAGGAACUUAGUAAGCAUCAACAAAUUGUUAAAACUUUCUUCUUCUUCUUUUUUUUUUUUUCACUAAAACAAAAUCACAAUCAAUUAAUUAAAUCCUCUUUUGUUUGUUUUUUGUGCAGCGGCUACAUGUCUGAAGAAUAUGCGAAAGAUAAUAUCAUGUCCCAGAAAUCAGAUGUCUUCAGUUAUGGAGUAGUGUUGUUAGAGAUUCUUACUGGAAGGAGAAAUCAUGAGUAUUGUAUUGCAAAUCCAGGAGAUAGUCUUCUCGACUUCGUAAGUUUAAUUUUUCUUUGUAUUCUUAAAAUUUUAAAGAAAAUUUAUAUUUUAGAGUUUUUUAAAAAGGUUUGGAGGCGAUGGAAGGAUGGUACUGGAUUGGAGGUCGUGGAUUCGAGCUUCCAUGAUGAUUCAUUUAUAGAAGACCAGGUUUUACGAUCAAUGAAGAUUGGUCUAUCCUGUGUUCAACAAAAUAUGCACGAUAGGCCUAGUACAAGGACCAUUGUGGUUAUGUUUGAAAAUGGCCCACGAUCAGAAAUUCUAGAUCCGACGAGACCAAACUAUAAUCUCACAAGAGCUGAUUCAUCUUCUUCUCCAGUUACCGUUACCGACCAAUCAGUCACUAUUAACGAGGCCACUUUGUCAUGCACUGACGCCAGGUGAUGUUUUUAUGUAGUGCGUUUUUCUACUAGUUUACUUAAAAAAAAAAAAAUUUGAACUAUCAUUCCUAUGUUAUGUUUAAUUUCAUGUGUUUUUUCUUCUAGUUUACUCUUUGAAAAAAUAACUACUAUUAUUCAUAUGUAAUGUUUUUAGUUGUUUGGGUCUCAGUGCGGGAGACUGAUACUUUAAUGGUUUAUCUCUUUUGCUAUGCACUUAAUGACAACGAACAUAAUAUCUCGAUAUAAUAAUUAACAACUAGGAUGAGACAAAACCAAAACCAAAACCAAAGGCAACAAGUUACAAGACAAACUGUUCAAAGUCAAUCUAAUCACAAAGAUAAACCCAGUUACAUAAUAUCCCACCUAUUUUUGUUUUUUAGCUGGUGUUUGAUCGAUGUUCUUCACCUGCAAGCAAAAAUGUGGCUUUAGCUGCUUCCUCUUUUGGUGUCUGAAAUGCUUUAAGAACAGAGAGAGAGAGAGGGAGAGCAAAAUUGUUUUACUGGGCCGCAUUCUAAAUAGUACGGCUUUGGUAAUUAUGUAAACAUAUCUUAUACCGAGACAAAUAAGAAUUAAAUUAAGUUAUCCUAUCAAUUAAUUUCAAAACCUCCACUUAGUCUAAUGAUUAACGGAAUCAUUUGGUUAGAAUAAUUAUUUAGCCAUAAACACCAAAAUCACAUGGAACAUAAGCUCAAUUACCUGUUUGGUGCCUUCAACAGAAGAAGUACGACCCCAUCUCUCAGGGGUCCCAAAGUAUGCUACUGUUGAAAGCAAAGCUUGAUAUAUGAACCGGAGGCUUUAUCUCUGUCUUGUUAUUAAUUUUUCUCAAAUGCCACCCCAAAACUUGUGAAGAUUCACAAACCGGCCUCUCUACUAUCACUCGCUUCCUAUUAGCUGAUACCAAUAUGUAUACAUUGUUUAGCCCCGCAAAAUGGACUAUCCCGCUUUGUUUGUGAUGCUCAAUGUGUCUCAACGCUAGGUUCCUUUGAUGAUCAAGCUCAAAUUCAAAGCUCGUGAAGUUUUCUUUGAAGACUAUACGUCUAUACAUUAAACCAGUUUUUCUUAACAUUGUUGGUGAAGAGUUUUCUUCAGCAUCGGAGUGUUUCUCCACGACUAUCCACAAUAAAGGAGGUGGAACUAGCCUCAAAGUAUUGGCCAUUCUCCUAAGGAGCACAAUUUUGUAACGAUCUUUCGUCAUUACCCAGAGUUACAACAAUCACUAGACCUCUUGGUGCAACUUCUUCUUCUUCUGUCUUGGAGAGUGAUCUGGUUUCUUGUUCAGGUUCUUGUGACUUCAAAGGUGCUGGGGCCUGACCUUGGGAACUGUUCAAUGCUUUAUCAACGAGAGGAUUGUGUGUAUAGGUAGAGUUCUCAAAAGGUUGGGAAGGAAUCUGAGAUUUAGUGGUAGUAGAGGGGGUGGUUUCGAAAUUAUAGAAAAGUGAAGCCUUACCAGCAGGAGCAAAGCCAGUGAUGAAACACAUUACAAAACAUAGAGAGAAAUGGAUCACAGCUUUCUUCCAUACCUGAGUUUUCUUCUUUGAUCUCUCCAGAGAUCCCAUCAGGAUCCAACCCUAAGAAGAAGUUUUUCUUAAUUAAGUGAUUUUCCUUUUAUUUUUUGGGAAGAACAAUCUAGUUUGAAGAGUAUGAAAUAUAAGGGCUUUUAUGACAUUUGUAUAGUUUUUGUCUUUAUAUUGUUGGUAAAUGAUUAAAACCGGCGAGCUACGUAGGAGUACGUUCUCUUUGAUUGAUUGCGUGUGUUGGUUGUGUUCUGCAACAACUUGUUGGGAUCAUUGGAACUCACUAGCUAGCUGAAACAUGUUUGGGAAAUAUAAGAAAAUUACUGUUAAUAUAGCAAAUAUAUUAAAAUUAAACUUUGCUUAUUAAUGACUCUUAAUGCAAGUAAUUAAGUAUUAUUUUAGUUGUUGUUGAUGACUGAUGAGUAAGGUUAUGAUCAAGAUAGGAACUUUUGAGAGUACCUAAUAUAGAGGAUAGUAGUCUUCAAAAAGUGUGAAGUGAUGAAACUUGAAGUUGAAAGAGACAAUCCAAAAAAUAAAUAUUAACAUGUCAUCGUGGUUUAUAUUAUGCACUUUAACAAAUGGAUAUCAUUUUUACCGUUAUAUCAAGCCAUGUAAAUACAUACCACCACAAACAAGUCGUUUUCUCAAGAAAGUUAGAAAAGAGAUCAAGCUGGACGAGGAGUGAGCCUAUCUUUGGCCGCCGUGUCUCCACGGUGGAGGCCAGAGGAGAUACGCAAGCAAGAAGAAGCCCCCCGAGAAACGCUCUGUUACUAACUCGGUGUUCUUGGAGCAAGAACAAGAAGAGACAAAGGAACCUCAUGAUGAUGACGUCAUUGUCGGAGAACCCAAGGUUGUGCAUUUAAUAUUCAGUUCAUUUAAUACAUCAGUCAAGUCACAUUUCCAAGAAAAUACUCCACUAACGAAGGCGUCUUUGUCUAUUUUUAAUUCGUUCCUUAACGCGUACGGAACGCGGCCCAAUAAAAUAAUUACUUUAAUUCUAUUUUAAGUCUCUGCUUCUCUACCUUCUUUCCUCUUUGUAAGAUCAGAGAGAGAGCGUUUGUUGAGAAGAUCUUAUUAGAAGGUGAAUAUCAAUCAGAACAUGGCGAAAGAAGACAACCACGAAGCUCAACGAUGCGAGUGCGAGGAUCAUGAGGAAUCGAGUCCUCUCUUGCAAGUUAACGAAAGCAAGAUCUGCUCAAAAGGGGACACCACCAAGACGGCGGAGGAAUAUGGCUGGACGGCGGAUGGAUUGCCGGUGAGCCAAGGGAGCGUGAUCGGCGAGCCGAUCGGGAGAAACCAAUGGAGUUCCGGUCUUUUUUCCUGUCUCGGCCGAAACGACGAGUUCUGCAGCAGCGAUCUCGAAGUUUGUGAGUCUUUAUGUUCUGUCUCAAUGAUUAGUGUCUGAAAUUUGGGAUUUUUUUGUUAAUGGGUUUCUUGAUUUGGUGGAGGAUGAAUUGUAAAGUUUUGAUUUUGAUGUGUUUUUCACUGUUGGUGAGUCUUGCUUGUGUUCUGUCUGACUGUCUCAAUGGUUAUUGUCGGAAAUUUUGGUUUUUUUUUUAUUUGGUAGAGAUUGAAUUGGAAAGUUUUGAUUUUGAUGUGUUUCACGGUUGGUGAGUCUUGUGUUCUGUCUCAAAUGAUUAUUGUCGGAAAUUUGAGGUAUUCCCUAAUGGGUUUCUUGAUUUGGUGGAGAUUGUAUUAGAAAGUUUUGAUUUUGAUGUGGUUCAUGGUUGGUGAAAAGACUCAAAUCUUUUACAUCUUAAUGGCUUCUUCUUUGUUAGGUCUCCUUGGAAGUGUGGCUCCAUGUGUGCUGUAUGGAAGCAAUGCAGAGAGGCUUGGGUCUGCUCCUGGAACGUUUUCGAAUCACUGCUUGACGUAUUUGGGGUUGUACUUUGUCGGCAACUCUCUAUUUGGAUGGAACUGCCUUGCUCCAUGGUUCUCUUAUUCUAGCCGCUCUGCCAUUCGCCGAAGGUUUAACCUUGAGGUAAUGAUCAAAUUAUCUGGUAUUUAAUCCGGAAAAAAACUGAAAAAUCUGUUUUUAUAUCUGAAUUAUCUGAAAUUAUCUGAGAAAAAGGAACCGAACCGAAAUUUUGUAUUAGUCAGUUUUUAACAUUGUUGCCCGAACCAAAAACGGAAAUAACCAAAACCGAACCAAAUUUCAAAUAAUCAAACGGUUCCUAUAUCUCUAGAACCGAAAAUCGAAAAAAAAAAAGAACUGGAAGUGAACGCCAAGCCUAGUUGUACUCUAAGAAAAGAGUCAAUCAACUCCUCUCUUUAUAUAUCUUCUUGGUUGUGUACCACUCUCUGAGUUUUAUAGGAGCCAUGGAGAGACAAGUCUUGUCUCAUAGGCACUCUAGUGUCUCUAGUUUUGGGCAUGUGUAUUACGAGAGUCUCCGUUGCAUUCCAUCUCGUGACCCUAUCUUUUGUUUUCUUUUGGUGUAAAAAACAGGGAAGCUUUGAGGCGAUGAACAGGUCGUGUGGUUGCUGCGGUAGCUGCAUAGAGGAUGAGAUGCAAAGGGAACAUAUGGAGACGACUUGUGACUUUGUGACGCAUGUCCUUUGCCAUACAUGUGCACUUUGCCAAGAAGGCCGUGAGAUCCGCAGGAAGGUUCUUCACCCGGGUUUCAAUGCUCAGUCCACUGUGGUUGUGCUUCCACCAAGUGAACAAACCAUGGGACGUAAGUAAGUGAAAAGCUUGCGUUGAGUCAUGUGUCCUAAAUAACAUUUGUAAUACACAAGGUGAACUAUGACGUUGUCUCUUGCUUGCUUUUGUCGCGUGUUCUUUUCUUUUUUUUGGUCUUUCUUCAGUGCAUGCAAAUGUAUGUAUAUCUUUAUUGUUACGUACUUGGUUUUGGAUAUGGUCUUGUAAUAUUCAAUAAAGUUUCGCAACUUGUAACUCUAUAAACGUGGAGGCAUUCCUUUCCGGCGGAACCUUCAUUGCUCAUAGCUCCAAACCAAAGUCUGUGAGAUCAGAUGUGGUAAAGAACGGUUCGGAGAUUCUAAUGAAAUGAAAGAUCUGUUUUUGGACCGGAGAGAUCAAGACAAAAGUGAUUGAUUGCAUUUAAUUUAUAAGACUUUUUAUAUCGCAACUUUGCGAGUCUUUAAUUGUUGCACUAGAGAUCCAUUGUAAUCAUUGUGGUUAAUUUGACUCCUUGAGUUUAUUAGUGUGCAUGUGAUAUGAUUUCUUUAGAUUUGGUUUUAAUAUACAUUUUGUGAUAAAAGGGUCAAGAUCUAUAGCUUAAUACUAUAAUUAAUGUUAAUUAGUACAUUUGACAUUUUCUUAUAGAAAUGAUUAAAUAGGUCUAUUGAUUAGACGCCAAACAAGACUGGCCAAAUUAAUCGCUGAUAAUUCAAAAGAAACCAGACGAAUUAUCAAAAGAUCUUCUAAUAAUGAAAUGAUUUGUACAAAGAGUCAAAAGGAGACACAUGGAGAAGUGCCCAACUCGUCUGGCAUGGCACCUCACUACUAAGCAAUCACGAUUUGGCUUGUGGAGUCAACGAGCUUAUGACAUUAGCUAGUUAAUUUCCCCCAAGUUGACAUCUACUUUUUAAACACAAUUUAUUUAUUACUUAUUAUACAAUUGUAGAUCUCAUCAUAUAUUUUUGAUAUGCGAUUUCUAGUAGUUUAUUGUAGACGACUGUUCUUUGUUUUCUCUUACUCUCUAAUCUGAAUCUCAUUGCAUGGUCGGCAACAUUUUUUACUUGGAACAUUUUACCAUCAAUAAUCGAAUUUUGAUAUCAUGUUAAUAAGUUCUAAAAACUUUAAUGUAUAACUUAACUUAUGUCCCUUAUACAUUACCUGUUAUUCCAUCACAUUUUGAUUUUGAAUUUGUAAGAAGUUUAUAUUUGUGUAUCAUAUAAGUUUAUGGUCUUGAAUCUAAUAGUUUUUGGUACUGUUAGUUCUAAAAUCAUUGACGAAUAUACCAAAAAAUGUGACAAGAGAUAUAUAAAAGUCCCAUCAAAUAAAUUUGGAUUGGUAGUUGUUUCGAAGUCACUCCCUAAUGUACCAAGAACAUAUCUUAAUCCAUCCCAGUUUUUGUAUCUCUUCUUAUUGACUCCAAACCAUUAACACACACACACACAUACAUACAUAUGAUAUAUGAUAUAUAUGGUUAUUAUCUUUCAUAGCAAACAUAAUCAGUUAGUUCACAUAACGACAAUCCUUCCUAAUCUCUCCUUGGUCACCGGUGAGAGGAUUGGUCUCGGACAAGAGCCUGAUAGCGCGUGAAAAUUGCUCAUGGAAGUAACCAUUGUCCGCAGCCAUCUUCGCCACAAAGGGUGCGGUCCUCGGAUCCGUGGCUAUCUCAUCAUCGAUGACAAGGAGUCCUUUAUGAGCCAUGAUGUUUUUGUAAUACAUAUUGUCCACAACCAUCGGUGUCUCAGGGUCGUUGCGGGAGUAUAAGACCUCUUUUGGGUUCGGAUUUGGAGUAGGGCAACGUUUUUUCAAGUAAAGGGCGUACGUAGGGUCGAGAGUCGGGUCAAUCGUUGGGUAUAGCCGGUGCACUAGGUUAACGCAGUGGACUCUACCCACUGAGUGUGCACCUACGGUAAUAAAAAUUGACCGAUCAAUAACAAUGACAGUUAUAUAUCUUUAUUAUCUUAACUAGUAAAUAAACUUUCCAAAAAAAAAUAUCAUAUGUAUUAUUUAAGUAUAUGGUUGAUAAAACUAUUUUAUUUUGAUUUUAUCAGAAAAUGAACCAAAAAUACCCAAAUUAUCUUCUAUUGAACCACCGGACCGUAUAAAAUUUGGUUUAAUUAACGGUGUAAAACGCACAUCUAUCCUAAAAUCUUGAACAAAUUCAAAAACCAAAAUGUCCAUCCUGGUUAGUGUUACCGUGCUGGCUCAAAUCUAUUGACCUAUGCAUUUAAAAGAUAGUUUCUACUCAGAUUUAUAACUCAGGUACCUAAGAGAGCAACGGUGGCUUCAACAUCGAUGCCGAUGGAGUUAAAGUUUGAGAGAACAGACGAGAGAGAGUCAUUGUGGUUAGGAACUAGAGCCUCAACAUCUCUCAAGUAGCUCCCUCUACUGUCUCUCCUUCCUGUCUUUAUCAUAUCUAUCUUUGGCCCUUUCAACUAUUCAUUUCACCAACCAAAAAAAAAACAUCUUAAUAAAAAUAUAAUUCCAAACUAAUUAAAUUAACCUUACAAUGCAUAUACUUACCAUGACAAUACCAUCUCUAGCAGAGAGAGCAACAAUAUCAGCGCAAGAGACUGUUCCAGGACAUUCUUUCUCGAGUGCAUCUUUGAUAGUCUUGAUAUACUUAAAGUUUCUCAUACCAAAACUCCUUGUUGACUUUUGCUCUGAUUCCACACCUCUUGCUGUCUCUAGUAGCAGUGACGCAUCACACGACUACAAAAAAAAAUACCCAUGAACAUAAAUAUUCACGAUGACUUUUUGGUAAUCAUGUUUUUAAAAAUAUUCACGAUGAUGAUGAUGCCAUGUGAUUAUAGAGUAAAUGUAAUUACCUUGACGACGCAGUCAUGGAAGAGAUUACGGAGCCAAGAUACGGCUGUGUUGCCGUGUUUGUAGUACAGCGUCUCCACUUGUUGUCUGAUUAUCUCUUCCGCUCUCGGACAACUCUCUCUGUAAUAAUUCAUCUUCAGUUCCGCAUUUCCUACAGUUUAGUUAAUCUUUAGAUUCGAUUUAAAAAAAAGUUAAUCUUUAGAUUAUUCGCUUUAUUUACGUAUGAGUGAUUACUAGCCAUUUUAUAAUAUAAUAUUUGUUGAAUUUUUACGGUGGAAAUUAGUUUACUAAAAAAAACCGUAGUUAUUUUGGUUUCAGCUAGCAAAAAUUAGAAAUAUAUUCUCGAGACAUGGAUACACGUGGCAUAAUGUGAUAAGAGAAAAGGGAAUAUAAAUUACCGAUAUGAAAGAUGGAAAAUAACUGUAAUAACAGGCAAAAGAAAGCCAAAAAGCAGAAGGGCAUCUUCACAAUGGCCAUCUUUUUCUCUCCUAUCUUUUUGUACUUUGUUGAUUGGUGUGUCUCUUUAUGUGUCCAAUGUAGGGUUAUAUAGAGAUUCAAGAGACUUGAGAAACUCUCUUUAAUCGUGUAAUAUAUAAUUAAGUAUUUUUAUUUCUUAUAGUCAUAGUGGUUGCCCAUGUUAAUUAUUCUUUUUUGAAAUUAUCAGGGGAUUUCUUAUUCUAGACGAAUAUUAAUAUUGAAGCUUGUAACCACUAGCUAUAUAUCUGAACUCAAUAGUUGUUGAACAUGUGAAUUCAGUGAGACGAGUUUUCCUAUUCUAUCCGAUGAUAAUACAAAAUUAAAUUAGUUCGGCUUUUCACUUCUUUUCACUUUUAAUUAGCCUUCCUCAUACAUGUUUCAUGUUCACAAGAUACAAAAGGAGGAGAUCUGUAAUAUAAAUUACGCUCUAACUUGUAACUAAUUGAUUGGAUUGGAUUCGAAUAAAUAAAAUCAAAAUGUAAAUGCUUGCGAUGAAUAUGUAUAUUACACAUCAACUUCAAGAUGACCGACUCAAUUAACUCCCAAUCAUGCUAAUCUAUAGGUAUUCAAUAUAUAGCAUACAAUAUUAAAUACGGUUUCACUUAUAUGAGUUCAUUCACUAAUAUAUGAGUAAAUUAUUAUUACCCGACUGCUGCAUAAAUUUUAUACCACCGAUUUAGUUUAUAGAUUCUAACAGACUUACUGACAUGUUAUAUUAUUCCAUUUGAAAUAUCGUUACCAGUCUGGAUUCUUUGGCUGACUUAAAAAAAAUAUUUUGCUUCAAUUGUGUAACAAAUGUAGAAGGAUAUUAUAGACUAGUCAUAAAUAUGUAUAUAUGCAUGGCCCAUUGUUAUACAUUUUGGGAAAAUUAUUGAAUAUAUAUUAUAUAAAAUCAUCUGAUGGUAGCCACAAUUUUUUUGUUUAAAUUAUCUGUAACAUGAUUACCGUCUAUAGCGGGUUUGCGUCAUUUCGGACAUGCGCUUGAUGCAAAAUCAAUACGACUGUGGAUGUUAAAAUGGAUAUAUUGACUUCACUAAAUGUUAAUAUCAUCAUCAGCCACUUUAUCCUUCGGCCACUUAGUCACUUGUGAUAUUUUUAACACAACACAUUGGGUGAAUUCGUAUUAUACGCAUUUAAUGUGGCACCAAGAGUUAAUUCAGACCCAUUCAUAGCUAAGCAGUUUAUAAUAGGUUGCCGCUAUUUCAACGUAUCAUUCAUCAAAAUUUGAUGUAUCUAUUUUAGUAGAAAACGAAAGAUGUUUCAUUUUAUUUGGUGUAAUAAAUCUUUAAUGCUCUUGAAUACUGCUUAAUACCGUCAGAACUCAGAACAUUAACUUUAGUUUUAAAUUAUAAUGCAAUUACUAAAACACUGCAAAUUUAUUUCAUUAUACAAUAUACAAAAAAUGAUCAUGUAUACUCUCUCUCUUUUCACAAUGAUAAAUUCCCAUUUUUGUUUUUAAAGAAUUUUAAGGUUUUAAUACAUAUUCCCUCAGUUUCGUAAAGAAUACCACUUUGACAUUUUCACACAAAUUAAAAAAAUGAUUAAAAUACAUUAAAGUUCUUAUUAGUUACACUUAAUAUGAAACAGAAAGAGUAUUUAUUAGUACUUGUUACAAAUUGCAUAUAUCAAAAUAUUUAUUAAUAAUAAAUACAUUUUUAUUUUUAUUAGUUUAAAUUUAUGUAAAAUUGUAAAAAAUUUAUAAUUGAUCACUAAACAUUAAUUAAUAUGUGUAAGAAAUGAAAAUUUAAAAAAAAUGUGAAACAGAAAGACUAUCACAUAAUUUAAUAAAUGUAAAAACUACAAGAAUUUAAGUUAAUAAUAUAUUUACGUCAAUAAUACUUAUGUUUCGGGUUGAUAUCUUAAUUCGUUUUGUAAUAAUAGCACUUUUAAAUCAAUUUGGUUAUAGAUUUUAAAAUAAAUUAUACUCAUACUUGGAAGCAAAUUAAAAAAAGGUUAUAAGAUUGCUUGGUGUAUGAAUAAUUGAAAACCAUUUUUUGUUUUUGACAACAAUUGAAAGCCAUUAAGUUUGACCUUUUUAGGCACUUGCUUAAUCGCACGCGCAUUUGAAAACCACCAAAUAAAAUCAACCCCACUUUCUUAAUAUUAUUGUGACUGAUGACGGCUGUAACAUUCUGGUCUUGACCGUCCAGUCCAUUCACUUGAACACGCACAUAAUGCUUUGUUGCCGAUUCACUUAUUUUCAUUAAAACUCAUCAUAUAAAUGAUUUCCCCUCCUUUUUCCUUUACAUCUAAAAGUCUAUGUAGUUUUUCUAGAUGCUUAUGAGUUACGCAAAACGAUCCUCUCCCACACAAAAAAACAAUAAUAUUAAUAUAUGUUUUAAUGUCCAAGUGUUUGAUUAGUGCUGCAGUUUGUAAAUAUGUAAUAAAACUAAUCAGCUUAAUUUUCUGUUUAAACAAGAAGUUUUGUAUAGAAAGACGACUUGGAUUAUAUUUUUGUAAGAAUUCUGAAUUCCUGUCGUUUCAUUCCAUAACAAUAUGUGUUAAUAUGUUCGUGUAUUAUUGACUUGUUGCUUUAUAGUUAUUUAUUUAUUCCCAAGUCAGAUUAUAUUCGUUCGGAAAAUGAACGUGACUCGUAUAUGAGUUGACCUUAUGAAUAUUGUCUAAGGCCUUAUCCAUUAGAUUAAAAGUUCAUUAUACACUUAUUAUUUGUAUUUAGUUUGAUUAUCUCCAAGGCUACAUUAUGAGCUGUUAGCUAGUAUCCUAAGUUAUGAAUAGCUCCAGAAAGGCCUUAUCCUAAGCUAUAUGAACAUUGUGAGCUAAGCUGAACACUUGCUUAGAUGUAACUUGAUCUUGUAUGUUUUCUCUAAAAGACCAAUAGCCAUCUUGUAUGCUUAGUUGAAUUUGUAUUAGGAUCUCUUAGUUGUAAGAGAUCAUAUGUUCAUCAAAUGGUUCUAUCACUACCAUAAGUUCUCUGUAAGGCCUUGUUGUUCUUCUCGCUCUGCUUUCUGCAGCCUGGUUAGUUUCCACAGGAGGCUUAUGUUCUUUGAUAGCAAAGUGAAAACCGUCCAUCUCUUCAUAGUCAUUUGGUAUAUUUGAACUUGUGAGCCAGUAGGCACAUGAGCUUCUCAGCAAGAAGAAGCAUUCUCUUUUCUUUUUUUUUCUCUACUCACCAAUAACAGAUAUUAACUUCCUUCUAUUUACAACUUAAAAUGUUAUAGUCUAUCACAUAUUUUCCCUUUAAACAAAAGAGAGAGGAAUUAUAUAUGUAUAGUUUAUCUAUCAUAUGGGUUCUUAAAAGCAUCAGGUAAAAGCAGGUGAUUUGCAGAUAGGGCAAGAGUUCUUCAAAGACAGCCAUUUCUUUAUGCACCCUCCAUGGUAGUCAUGACCACACCCUUUAAGUUCCCCCAACUCUUCUCCUUCCUUGUAUUCCUCCUAAAUGUUACCGUUACCACACCACCAUUAGACUCUUGGCACAUUUAAAUCUUUGAGACAUGCGAAUCUUACCAGGCAGAUUGCACAUUUUCUUUCCUCAUCCGUUUGAUACAAUGGGUAGAAUAUCGUCUCCAACAAGCAAGUGGAGAUUGCGCCCUUGGAUAGACCAGUGUUAACACUCCCAAUCCUUUCAACAAGAUCAAGAAGGUCCUGGAUAGUGUCAACCAUUUCAAGAUACAUCAGUUGCGAGACAUUUUGUCUGGGGCUUAGAAAAACCAAGAGUUCUGUAAUUAACCUCGUAGGUCAUGUCAUCGAUGUCGAGCCUCAAUUCUCUGUGGUGAUCAUGCAUAUUCCUGGAUCCAUAGUGCUGUUGGUGAUCUACAGCCAUAAAUCCCUGUUUUUGUACAUCCACAACAAAAUAAUAGAAGAAAGUUCAGUCUGCAGCAGAAUAAGAAACAUGAGAGUCUAUGUAGGCAAGUUUCUGAAGUGUUGGUCCCAUCAGUUUAUUGGCAAGUUUGGUAGGGAAAAAAAUUACUACACCUGAGAUGAAAAUGGUUCAUGGAGAGCAACUUCAUCGAAAGGAGGCUGAAACCUCUCAUAGGAACUCCUGCGUCUCCCUGGGCGAUCACUGCUACGCCAUGAGAUGUGUGGUGGUGGCCUCAGAUGCCUAGAAGGAUAUGUCUCAGUGACAAAAGGAGACCUAUCUCCAGAAGAAGAUGCUGAAUGUUCCAAUCGCAAACCGUUUGAAGAAGAUCUAUAGGUGGGUGUUGACCUAUGAGAGAAGCGGGAGCUAGUUGCAGAUUGUGUUGAAGUUCCAGGAAAACCGUGGGAAACUGUAGAGUUUCUGUUUCCGAUUAGCCCUUGGUGAUACCAAGAGGUAUCAACAGAUGUGCUGUUGGCGACACUUCUCGUGGGAAGAAAAUUAUUUGUCUUUGGACUAAAGCCAUUUAAAUCUGCAGGGUGAGAAUUCAUGUGGUUAAAGAACGUAGUCAGUAAAAAUUUGAAUCUCAAGAGAGACCAAAGUGAAAUUUGCAUACCUCUAGGUACUGGGGAGUGUCUAGGAAAGUUCCAGUUCCAGUCCUUAUUCCUGUGAGAUGUUUGACCAGGAAACUGACCUGAGCUAGAGUGAUCAACAUUGUGAUGUGUAGGAUGAGAAUCAAGGUCCAAGCUUCUUGAAAAAAUAUUUCUAUCUACACUAGUCUCUAAAUCAAGUGUAGGACGACUCCGGACAUUCCUUGAAGAACUCUCUCCCCUGAUCGAGAGAUUAUUACUUCUGUAACUUGGGUUCAUGAGCCACGGCAUGUAAUGAGGACCAUGAUCACGAGUUGUUGAUUUUCCCAUGUCCAACUCCGAGGAGAAAGGGAUAUCUGAGGAAGUUCUGCCACCGUGGUAAUGGCUUGAACUACCCAUUUCAUAGACGGAAGAAUCGCAUGGGGUUUUCCGCUUCUGUGCUCCUCUCACAUUUUCCAUAUGUAGAUCAACAUAGCCAUCCAAUGACCAUGUCUGACUGUUGCAGUACGAAGAAGAUGCAGAUGUCACAUAAUGUUCAAGUGGAGCAGAGAAAGUUGCAGCUGCUGAACUCAUGACAGGAACAUGGGUGGGGCCGCUAGUCCCUGGAUUGUAGUGUAGCCUCUCUACACCAUGACCUGAAGCAGUAUACGCAUUUGGUCCUGUAGAAGAGUUCCAGUGCGAAGAAAAUGGCAUUCCUUCAUUCAACACGUUUCCUGCUGGAUUAACAUGCGAUCUGCUCUCACUGGUCCCAGUUCUUGCUGAGAUAACAUAGAGCGAACAAUAAUACGAAUCAGAAAUUCCGGACACGAUUGCACAGGAAAAAGUAGAAUUAUGUAUGUGAUGAUUAUAAAAUGUGGCUUCCUAAUUUUCACUACCUGAGGGUAUCACCUAUCAAGAUUCAUUUUUGCCCCUACUGAAACCCAAUCUACCCAUGAGGGAGAAACUUCUCAACCUAAAAAUACGCAUGCAACAUCAACGCAAUAGCUCUUACACAGGUUGAGUAUAACAUCUAUCCAUGAAGAACGUGUUAAAAAUAUUGAUUUCAACCACAGAAUAAGGAUCUCUAUAGGAAUGGAGAACUAAUUACCUAAACUCGUAUAUGGGUGCUCUGGGUGUAUAUGGUUCCAGCCUUGAUCCUGUUCAUCAUCGAAAAAUUGGAAAGAGCCAGGAAAAUGUCUGUGCCCCAUGAUUACACAAAUCUUCAACCUUGGAGUCCAGCUAACCCUGCACAGAAAGUUCUCUCAACAUUCAGAACUCAUCCAGAAAAAAAUUUGCAAGUCCAUAAAAAUAGUUCUUAAUUACUAAGCAAUCUCAGUUUCAAUUCAAGAAUGGUAUAUAAAGUAACAUCUGCUUUAGCUCAGAAGUACCAAAUGGUUGCUGAAAACGAGUCACCCAUCUAUUUUCAGUUUUAUAGUCACAUUUCAAGACCAAAACUCCAAUUUUUGCAACUGAAGAACCUUAACCAUCGCCAAGUUAAGAAACAAAGUUUCUUCAACCCCACACAUGAGCAUACUCAAGCUGUAAGAAACGAUUUAGAAUAUGCAUAGAGAACACUACACAGUAUUAGGACGGACAUCAACUUCAGGUAUAAAGGAAACUGACAAUGGUAUAUUGAUAGAGAUUCUUUAUCAGAAGAGAGUCCAUAGUUUCAAUACCUAGUAUCAAUAUAGUUGAAAUAUCUAGUCUCAGUUACCUUUGUCACCCGUAUCUAACAUACUAUACCCUCAGAGCUCAGCUCAUGAUAUCAUAAAAACAAGUUUUCGAAGAGUUGGACUGGAAAGUUCCUGAUGCCUUAAGAUGGGAAUAACCUUAACUAGUACAUAUCUAUCAGCUCAUAAGGGUAUCUUGCAAUCAAGAGUUAAUAAAUAAAACAGAAACCUACAUUUUCUCUUUGUGUAAGCCAAAAGAAAAUAAGAGACACAAAACAAGCAAGAGUGUUCUCUAGUACAUUGGCAUAAGAAGUUCAUUUAAACAAGACAUUUACUCAGGUUUAAGAACUUCAUAAAUUUUACAGAAACAGUCCACCGAGAAUAAGGCAAGAAAGAACAGAUACAGAACAGAUAACAUUUGAUAUGACCAUUUCAGCUUCUAUCAACACAUACAGAACAGAUGCAUACUGCUGGCAUGAUCAAGAAAAUUACAUGGAUGAUUCAACAGCAGGAAAUAAGUUUAAUUUUCUGAGCCAAAACCCUCCAACAAUACUACUGCAGGCAAAUUAAACUCCCAACCAAGAAUACACUAAACUACACAAGUGAAAAAGCCAUCAUCCUUUCCUGAUCAACUGAUUCACCAUUUCCACACACCAAAUGUAAUUUCUUCUCUUCAAGUUCAGAAUCAUAACGGGCUUAGUCCACAGAGUGCUGGCCAGCAAAGGCUUACCACCACAUUCUACUAUUCUGAAGCUUUUACUUAGUCAAAACCUGCCAUCCGGCCCAGCACACCUAGAUCUACUCCAAGAGCUAGUAAGCAGAAAUGGGUUGUGUGAAAGGAUGCUUCUAAGCAAUUUGCUUUAUGCUUCAUAGGAUGGUUGUCAUUUCGCAAGAAAUAUUGAAGUUUUUACCUUAAUUCACACUUCAAGCAUCACUGACUAAUUAACACAUUCAGUUAUGAACGUGGAAUCAAAAGAAGGGUGGUGGAAGAACUGGACCAGACAAACUUCACAAAGCCUUGACUACCAUAAACAUAGUUAUCAGCCAUAAAACGUAAAUGAGUAAAAAACUAACCACGCUAAUAGAGUUUGGUUGACUUAUCUUACUUCAAGUUCACGUUGGUUUCUCAAUCAACCAACAAUCUGCCAAAAUAGAAGGAAAACGGCAGCCACCGAUUCUAUGUAUUACAAAGGCUUAGCAUAAGGCACUAACAUCUGCUGACAAAAGUGUUAGAAUAAUACAUUUUCUCUGCUACAAUUUCAAAUUUUCUAUUAUAUUUUUGAGAAAAAAACCAAAAUAGCACUAAAUCAAGUUUUUGUUCCCAAACUAGCACUCAAGGCCAAAAGUCACAAAAAUAGCACUCAAGAGAUGGGGUUUAGGGUUUAGGGUUUAAAGUUUAAGUUUUAGGGUUUAGAGUUGAGAAGUGAGAUUUUGGAGAUAAGAUUUCAAAUUUUGAAAAAUAAAAAAGUUUAAAUUUUUCAAAAGAUAAAAUGCUAUUUUGGUCAUUUAGUUUUUGAGUGCUAUUUUUGUGAUAUAAACUUAGAAAAGUACUAUUUUGGAGAUUUGCCUUAUAUUUUUUCGAUUUUUUUUUUUUUGAUUAUACAAAGUUUCCCUAAAGGCUUCCUAAGGGACUAAUCUGUGUAGCUGCAACCCGAAUGUGAAAUCCGCAGUGGCCGGGAAUCGAACCCAGGUGGCGGUACUCACAGCUGUGAGCCUCUGUGAGCUAAACGCCCCGGUUUAUUUUUUCGAUAUUACUAAAGAGGAAGACGUAUUUGCUGACCUUAAACUAUAUGGACGUUACUAGUUCAAGACUGAGAGAAACCAUCGUUGCCACUAAACCUGCUGGAUACAAAGCCUAGCUAGUUUGAUGCUAAAUAGGAAACUGCUCAAACUAGCUCUAUAUAGCUUAGCCCCGUCGCUGAAGUAGCCUGAACUAAUCACCGAUCUGGUCUCCUCUUCUUCUCAGCAUCCGAAUCUCUAACUACGAUUCAAACAAUCCAAUCACGAAAAGUCACUCAUGUAGCAGACGGAAGCAAACAAUCAUCACGCAAAAGGAAAACAGAUGAUCCGUCGUAACAGCGUUUAAACAAAUCAUUGGUGAAACUGCAAUCGAUUUGAGCAUAUAUAUACAUAUUUACACGAAAACCUCAGAGCUCAAACGAUGAUCGGAGAAGAGAGAAACGUACCGCUAGCAGCGUGCGGAUGAUGGAGAAAGGAGAACGAUCGGAGGAUUCAAAGAGACGACGAACGGAUUCGUAGAGAUGACUCAGCUUGAGGAUUGUGAUCGGUUGAUAUAUUUAAGAGAGAAAGCAAAUGAAAAAAUGAUAAAACAAAACAAUUUAAUUUAAAAGCGAUUGGGUGGGUACGUUGCUGGAAAAUUUAGACCACCACAGCAUCACCGGCUGAUUAAUGGGCGUAGAUUAAUGGGCCUAUAUUUUGACUUUAUAUGGGCCUCCACUGGAUCAGCAACUAUCCCUUCUUCUUUUUUUGUCACCAGCAACUAUAGCAUUGUUCACAUAGUGCAUUAUGUUGCAUCUGACAGAUUAUGAGCAUAUAAUCCUUGAAUCUGCUUUGUAGAAAGCUCUUAGAAAUUUAAUUUUUCCAUUGUCUUUGCACGUGCUGUGAAAUUUUGUGUUAAUUACGCAUAAAGUUUGAUUCGUUAGAUUUAGUCCAAAGUAAACAAUAUGGAUACAUAGUCCACAAUCCCCCUAAAAUGGUUAUUUCUCAGAUUUUGACAGUCUUAAUUUGAAGACAAUUUGGAAGAUGAAGUUGCAGUGAAACACGCAAGCAUUGCAUUGCUUUUUUCUCUUUCUAAAACCAAUGGAAGUACAAGGAAGUGGAGGUGAAUCAAUAACAAUAAACCGUGUGCAUUGCCGAGAUUAUAUAGUUUGUGAUUAUACCAUUUUAAUACAGAGAAGCUGCAAAUACCAAAUUAAACCAACGCAGGUUUGAGGUUCCUACGUCAAGUUCAACCAUUUCAUUUCUAGUGUAAUUUCUCUAUUCAAAACAACUAUAGAAAGGUCCACUAGACAUGGCAGACGAAACAAUACCCCAAUAACAUUGUGGCAUUACGAAAGUAGCAAAGCAAAGCAUAAGAUAAAAUAAAAGCGGCAUUAUAACAAACCAAAACAGACUUGUUCUUGUUCUUAACCGAAACAUAAAAGCUAAAACCUCAAAAGUGAAAAUAACCGAACAAAACACUUAAUCUCAAAUUCCCUUUUUUUUUUAAAUUAAUUAAUUCUCAGGAAUCUCAACCUCACCCUCUUGAAUCUCCUGCUGGAUAUCCUUGGAAUCUCCUGCUGAAUAUCCUUGGGAUCUUUCCCAUCCACAGUACACCCAACAGACACACACGUCCCAAGAAUCUCCCUCACGGUCCCGCUCAGCUCCUUCGCAAUAGACCUCGGCCUCAUGAUCCUCGCGAUCUCAAUCACGUCAUCGAACGAAAUGUUCCCGUUGUGCUUAAUGUUCUUCACCUUCUUCCUGUCCCUCUCCGGCUCCUUCAAGGCCUUGAUCACCAGCGCCGCCGCCGAAGGCACCACCGUCACUUUCGCCUGGCGAUUCUGCACCGUCAGCUUCACCGUGACGCGGAGCCCCUUCCACUCCUUGGCCGUCUCCUUGGCGAUGUCUUCUCCGAUCUUUUUGGGAGCCAGACCGAGGGGACCGAUCUUGGGAGCGAGGGAACUCGCGGCUCCGACUUCUCCGCCGGUCACGCGGACGUAGACGUCCACGAUCUGGCUCGGGUCAAGCUUCGGCGGCAUGGCUGUCUCGGUGGUUAAACGGAGUUUGAUUAGUUUUUUUUUUAAGUGGAGUCCGGAGACGAGGAGGCGGUUGAAGACGAGCUCCAAAGGCUUUUAUUGAGGUCGACACUAGGGUUUACGAAAUGAUGAAUUUACUACCCUUGUAAACAUAUAUGGGCCUUAAGAGAAUGAUCUUAUGGGCUUUAUUUUAGACUAUCGGUUCUUUUACGGUUUAGUAAAUAAUAAAUCCCCGGUUUGAUAGAACCGGUUUACUUCCGUCGCCUCUUUGCUCGGUGAGAAUUGCCUAAAAUAUUUCCUCAGUUUCGGAAAGAAGUAUAUUUUAGUUACCAAUAUAAUUUUAAUAAAUAAAAUUAUGUUUUUUUACUGUUUACGAUUAAUUUAUGCAUUGAAACCGUAAAAAUGUAUUUUUCUUGAAACGGAAUUUUUUUCUAAAAUAUGGAAUUUUUUGAAACGCAUGGCUUUUAUUAUACUAAAAUAGUGAAAGUGACGUCACUUCGUUUAACCGAUAUGAUCAACAACAGAAGCAUAUAGUUUUGACAAUAUACUGGGAAACAUUUACUUUUUGGAACUUUCUGUUAUCUUAUGUGUGUUAUUUAAUUAGUGGGUGGCUAAGGACCAGAAGUUGAGAAAGAAGGAAGGGAACACAGCAAGCCAGCUGAUGAAUGCCAUUGCUGUGGCGGUCUGGAACCUUGUGCAGUGGCUGCCAUCACAUUUAUCAAGAUCGUUGAUGAGUACGGUUAUGCCAGCAGACGCAGAUGCAGCUGCAAACGUAAGUAGGCAUGUGAUCUGCAAGGGAUGAAAAUAGACAAAACAGUCACUUUGUUGCCUUCUUAGAAACUAACUUUAAACAAUAAAGAGAGAUGUUGAUUUCGUUCUUACUCCAUCUCCAACUGUGAAACAUCGAACAACCAAGUGAUUCCGAAGGCUUCUUCCCACCAGAAGAGCAUAAGCAUCGAUGAUAAAAAGAGACAAGCUCCACAGGCUUUGCAAGCUAACCGCAAAAACCAAACCACUGUCACAGUUUAUAGAUAUGUUUUGUCAGAUUCAUAUUUUUCCGUAAACCUUAGGUCUAAGAGUUGGAUUUUACUAGAAUGCGGUGAAGGAGUGGAAGUCGGGGGUGGUGAGCAUGACGGAGAGGGAGAUGAGAGAGGAGACGAACUGAGAGAGGCGGAGGAUGAGGCCGCCGGUGGUUCCUGGCAUGCCCUGAAUAUCUUUCAUCCUCACUGGCGGUCUAUCGUUGGCUCCGCCAGUAGGACCCACGGGGACAGCAAUUACCGGACGAACCGCCGGUCGGCUCACGUUCAUCAUGUGAAAGUGAGUCACUCUGAUAACACACACACAAAUGAGGAACUAACUCGACUGAGUUUGCUAAACUAAUUUCCUAAAGACAAAGACUUAUUCAACUAACUGAAUCUCUAACACAUGUAGGACUUUCGAACGUUUACCGCAAAAGUUCAAACAGACCCACCUUGUAAGACACGAAACUGCUACUUUGGCUGUCUGAAAAAUGGAAUUAGUGUGGAUUUUUUUUUUGGUCCACGAGUUAAUUAGUUAAUGUGAUGUGUUUUGACAGAAUCGACCCAAAACAUAGUAUUUAAUGUUCCUAACUUUUGAUAUCUAUUGACUUAGAGUAACCGACUUUGAAAGUUAGUAUAAAACAACUGUAGAAACUUUUAAUGUGGCUUACUAGAUUUUUGGUGCUAUUCUAAAGUAUUUAUGUUUUUAUAUUAUUUAUUUCAAAUAUGUUAGACAUAAUAUUAUAACUUAUUAGUACUAUUUUCGACAGUUUAUGUUAUUACUUUUGAAACAGAUUAUAUUUAAAUUAGUAGUAUAUAUUAAGCUAGAAAAACACUCGAAAUUUAUUUGAACACUUAAAAUAAAACUAUAUUUUUUGUUUCUUAUUCUUUUCCUGUGUUUAUUUGUGUUGUAGUAUUGAUAAUUGACUAAAUAAAUACAAACAAGAAAAUGUGAAACUUUUGUUGGUUACAGAACAGAGUUGAUGAUCUUACAGAGAAUUAAAGACAUUUAGUUUGGGGUUAAAAAGACAGUUCUAAUCAUUUACAACAAAGAACUUCCACCGAACUGGAAAUUGUUUUUACUUUACCCCAACUAAUCGGGAUCUAUUCCUUCCAUUUUUAGUAAGAUUAAUAAAAUCGUGAAAAUCUGACAUUUUCAUAUCUAUAUAUAAAAUCUUUAAAUAGUUAUCUAGAUAUAUUUAAAGUUAUCUAGAUUUUUUUUUUUUGAAAAAGUUAUCUAGAUAUAUUAGAUCUUGAUAAUAAUCAUUCUCCAGCCCUUUCCAUCUCCCAGCAGAGCUUAGACGCAACACUUUCAUGGGAAGGUGCAUAUUCCUGCAAAAUGACAACAACAACGUUUGAGAUUAUGUAGAGACCCAGAAACAAUUCAUUUUCUUCAAUUUACCUCAAGCUUCUUCACAAGCUCUUUAGCAGUAGGUUCAGAGACUAUGAUCUCACGAGCAGUCGGGCUGAUGAAUCCUUCUUCAACGGCUUUAUCGAUGAAUGAAAGCAGCGAGUUGUAGUAUCCAUCAACGUUGAGUAAACCCACCUGCAGAAAGUUUGUUUUAGUGAUUUUGGAUUCUUGAAUUUUUCCAUUUGAAGUAAGAAUAUUAGGGAGGUUUUUUUUUACAGGCUUGUCAUGAAUUCCAAGCUGAGCCCAAGUUAUGACCUCAAGCAAUUCUUCAAGUGUUCCAUAGCCUCCUACAAUUAUCGCACAAAAUUUUAGAUUUGAUUUGUCAAAAGAGAGCAGGUUAAUCUGUUACUAUGAUAUGGUCAAAUCAGUAGGUGUGUCAUGUACAAUACAAAACCAAAUAAUAGAGUCCUCUCCUCUCUGUUACUGUUUUGUACAUUGGUACUGACUAUGAUUACAAAAGCAGGAUCUUGACUUUCCAUUAAUGAUUUCAGAUUAAGUGUGGGCCAAAAAAUGCCAUUUGUGGGACUGUUUCAAGUUUUGUCUCUUAACUUGAAAAGGGCAAAGAAAAAAAGUUUGGUCAGAGUAAGACUACACAAGCUAUAGAGAGAGUACCCCCUAAGUUAAAAACAAAGCAGAGCAAUAACCAGAGUAAAAGAAAAGGAAAAAGGUAUAAUUCUAAGUGCCAGAUGUUGAUGGUUAAGGCCUUUUAUCUUACACUCUGGUGACUUUAAAUAUUUAGAUUUUUUUCAUUUCAAAGAAUAAUUAAAAAUAAAAAACUUUUCACAGCAGCUUUCACACUGCAGCUUGACCAAAACAUAAUGUUUUUUUUUGUGUAACUAAGAAAUCAUGUUUUUACCAAACUCUUUUCUUCUCUUUUUUUACAAAAUCAGUCCAGAAAAACAAACUUUUUCCUUUACAUGAACAAACCCUACUUUGAAACUUUGAUUACCCAUUCAAAUUGUUUUAAGAGGCUAUUCUUAAAAUUCUUUGCGUCACUAGGGUUUUGACAAGUUUUCGUAUGUUAUCAUUACUUACAUUGAAAGAACAGCAAAAUUUUGAGGUUUAGAAAUGUUUUUUGAGAAAGAAAACAUUUGAUUGAAAAUUUGGGUGGAUUGGGUUUAAAACAAAACCUGGUAAGGCAAUAAAAGCAUCAGAGUGCUUGGCCAUUUCAGCUUUCCUUUGGUGCAUAUCUGCAACUGCUCUUACUUCUCCUACUGUUUCACCAGUCAACUGCAAAAAACAAUGAUCAUCCACCAUUUUAAAAUAAAUAAAAGGAUGUUAAUUAAAAGUAGUUAAAGGGCAAAAGCAACUUUGGGCUCUUCUACAGGCAAACGCAAUGAUGUCACCGCAAGUAGUCGUAAUGUUUGGAUGUUUUUGAAAUCUCCUACAGAACCCUAACAUCUAGUUAACCUCUUUCUAAUCAUUUUCUUCAUAUAUCUUUUAUUCAGAUUACGGUAACCAAAUGAGGAUAUUUAUAUUUUAGGACACCUAAACUACUCGCAAUCAUGAGAUUUAAGAAAAGGUAACAAACAGGGAGAAGAGUAAAACCUAAGCAAACACCGAAGAUUAAAAUGGUUUUGAAUGGGAAUUUGGAGAACUUAAAAGAGAAAUUAAAUUAACAAAGAACAAUGUUUUAUUUUGAAAUUUUCUUCUUUGAAAAGUUCAUACCUCUCUAGGCAUGAGGGUCUUUGGAAUUAUUCUGCAGAGUGACAACAAAAGGACAAAGUUGGGUUUUAUUAGAAAUAUUCAGCAAUAUAAUCCAACACUUGUGUUCCAUCAGAAUCUCAAAAGACAGUUUUCUUUUGUAUGAUCUGAAGCUUACAAAGUUGUCAAAUAGUUUAAAGUUAUUUGACUAAGAAAAAGUUACCCAAUAACAUGACGACCACCAUUAUGAACAGCUUGUGAAACCAAACCCAUCAAGCCUAUGCUCCCACCUCCAUAGACUAGAUCAAUUUUCCUUGAGACCUGCAGAACAAAAAAAAAAACAGAGUUACACUUUUUUUUUUUUUUUUGUCACAAAAACAGAGUUACACAUUAGCCUAAACUUGAUGAUAAGUAGAGCAAAAAUCGUGUAACAAACCAGAACCAGAAUAUUCUGAAGUUAUACCAUCUGGCACGUUUCAAAGAAGAAAUAAAUGAAGCAAAGAUGCACAUCAUCUUAUCUCAAAACCAACCAGCAUAAUCAAAGACAUAAAUACGUUAAAAGUCAUGUAUGUGUUACCAGUUCGUUGCCGAGAUCUACAGCAGCAUCUUGGUAACUACUCUUCUUGCCUUGGCUGCUUCCACAGAAGACACAUAUUCUUUUGAACUUUGACUUUUGCAUCGUUUCAGCUUUGAUCUCCAUUGAAUAUGAUCCUAAACUUAUGAUAAAAUAUAAAACUUCUCCAGAAAGAGAAAAGGUAAACAAUUUUAAGGUUUCUUUCAGCACAAGAAUCUAAUUUCGCAAGACAGUUAUGAGUGACAAAGAAACCUAACUAAAUCUGAAAAAAUAAUUUAUUUUGGGAGUUGUUUUUAUCCUCACCACUAAUGUUUCCUGGCUCAAGGGUUGUUGUUAUAUAUAUAGUGCGUCAUCGAUUUAAGCUUACUUAUUUUAAAUUACAUUCUUUUUGAUGUUUACUAAAGCUAGCAGCCUAGCACAACAUUUAAUAAUACAAAUUUAGAAAAAAAAAUAGAAGGCUUUCGUUAAAAAGUUUAUUUUUUUGUUUGUUUGAAUACUUCAUUUCUGUUUUAUUCCCCAUAAAAAAAAUAUUUUUGACCAAAAUCUUAUAAAUCGUUGAUUUGAAUAUUUAAUAAAAAUCGAUAUUUUUUAGAUUUAUGUUGAGGUCUUUACACGGGAGAAAUUAAAGCACGCGUCUUUCACUACCCGCGCGGCACGCGUGACCGAAUUCUUCUUUGUGUUAAUUUUCCCUUACUAUAAAAUCACGUACAACAAUGAUAGACUAGUACCAUAAACCUUAUUUAUGGUCGUAAAUAACAAUUUUUUUUGUUACUUGAGAGGAAUUUGGAUCAAACCGUAAUCUCCGCUUAAACCUGAAACCAUGUGUCCAUGCAUUGAUAAUAGUUUAUGACAUGGCGUAGAACAUUUCUUUCCAUAUAAAUGACAAUUCUUCGUAAUGGACUUUAUGGUUAGACUCACAAUCACCCAACUAGAUAGAAAUGCCAUGUUAAUGCAGGCUAUAUCUCACAAGGAAUUAUUAUCAGUUGUGUUCUUUGUUGUUAAAGAUCAUAUAUAUCGUGUUUAGACUUCAUAACCCCCUCUUAUGAUUUCGUAAAGAAAGCUCUCAGUGAUUAAAAAAAAACUGAUUCAGUAAAGCUUCGUCAUUUUUCGUUCUUAAUCAAGAAUAGGAAAAAUAAUUAAUUUUCUAUAUAAAAAUAAGAAAAAUGGACAGCAUAUGUGGACAGUGUAAGAUGGGUACAAACGUUAUUAACUGAUACUCUUGAAAAACAAAUAGAGAAAGGGAAAAUAAAUAACCAAAAAUAACCAAGACAAAGGCCACACUAAUAUUCUAAUGGAACCAUGUAGAUGUCAUGGAUAAACCAAUGAGAUAUAUACACACUCACUUAUCUAAAGAGAUAUAUAGAAUGAAUAAGUUAAUGAGAUGAUGAUGUCUGGGAUAUGGAGCAAUGUGCCAUUGAUGAUUGACAUAAGAAAACAAAGUGAUGGCUUAUGUUACCAGUGUAGCCUAAUUCACCCUCCCUAUGUAGACAACCUUCUUCUUGUUCUUUGCAUAGAAAACGUUUCUUCUAUUUUUAUUCCCCUAUAUUCAUUUUCACCAUCCUAAGCUAUAGUAUGGAGUUGUGAUAUAAAAUUCUUUUAAUUUUUUUAGACUAUUAUUUUUGUCUUUCUCUUUCAGAAUAAAGUAAUCAUUAAAUCAUCGUUGAAUUAUUUAAAGUUAUGAAUUCAGAAACAUAUGCAAAUUAUCGCCUUGUGAAAGAAUGAAAAAUAAAAUUUCUUGUUACACUUCCCAUUUCAGGAGAACCUUUUAUAUAAUCUUGAUUUAUUGAAAAAUCAAAAAUUUAAAACCGAAAGCUGAGAGCUAAAACUAAUAAGAAAAAAAAAACACUAGUUUCGUUAAGACUCUAUCGUAACCCUAUUGACAUGUUGGCUUGGAAUACCAGGAACCUCCCCAACACUCUUAUACUUAACUGUAAGCAAACACUUACAAUAUACUUCAGAUCAUAUAUAUUUGUUUAUAACAUGUGUAUAUAGCGUAUGAGUAUUUAAAUAAGAAAAUAAAAUAAUUACAAUCCCAAGAUCUGAGUAGAUGCAACCCAUUCCUUCUAUAAACAAAUAAGUAAGUUUGUAAAAUAGUUUGUAUUAGUAUAUCUGCAUGCUUGCAUGCGCAUUUUUCUCUUGUUUUUCUUUUUCAUCUCUAGUUUCACUUCACAUUCUUCUUGGGUUUUUCACUUCCGACCCAAUUUUUAUUUUAUUAUAAUAACCAUGACGAUGGUAGUGAUACCACAAUUUAAUCAGAUAAUACUUUCAUGCAGUCCAAUUUGAAAGUGUUAAAUAUUUGAAAAUGAGCACAAGAGGUUUUAUAACUCGAAUCUUUUUAUAGUCUGUACAGAAAAAAAAAACAAAAAGACAAUUUUAAAGGUGGACGUUUGAAGAACAAAUUAUCCUUUUUACAAAAGGUUAAUAUCUGUCUCCAAUCGAUUUUGACAUGAUUUCAAAGACAUAUAGUGACAUAGCAUUAACGAACAUCUAACGGAAUCCUAAAUCACUUUAACUAAAAGAAGUUCAUAAAGAAAGAAAAAGUAUUAAGUUAGUCAUACAACUAGUUCAUUCUGUUCAUAAAGGGGUUCUAAGUAUUUAUAAAUAUCAAUUUUUCUUGGAGUGGUUCUCAACCUUUUCAAACAGGUCAACAUUUUUUACUUCCUUUUAUAAAAGGUUUUUGUUAAAUUAAGAAAAGUUCUUUCGAAAGAUGAAACUUGAAUCCUUUAUAUAUUUACUUAUCAGUUAAAGAAGUUCAUUCAUAUUAGACCCAAUACAAUUUUGUUCAUAAAGGGGUUCUAAUUAAGUAUUUAUAAUUAUCAAUUUCUAUGCAGACAUAGGAAAGGCUCCGCGCUUUCUAAUAAAUAUAUAUAUGGGUUAUUAUAUAUCCAUGCCUGACAAAAAGAAAAUGCUUAAUUUGAUUUAAUUUAAGAUUAAGGAGAUGAAGAUGAAAAAAUUAUUAACCCAUAUUAUUUUUUCAUUUAAGCUCUGGCUGUAAAAAAGCUGAACAACUUUUACCAUAUUAUUUUUUUCCGAAGUAUAUUAAAAAGAAGACAAUAUAUUUAUUCACUGUUUUAGGUUUUGUUCCAAGCUAUCACCACUAUUUUGUCAGUAGUACCAUAGAUUCAUGAUUAAAAAUGACUCAAAACCUUUCUUAAUAAAUAAAUUUUAAACCUUAAAUGAAAAACUUAAGCCAAACAUAGUAUCUCAAUAUUGUCUAUAAUUUCUUAAAAUAAAGGAUAAUAUCCUCACACAGUUUUUUGUAGUAGUGUUAAAAAGAACAGUAAUAGUAUAUUCGGAAUAAAAACCUUUUAAAUAUAGCAUCUACGGUAUUUUUUUAGCUUUUAUGAACUAUUUUAAUGAUUUAUUCUUGUUUUUGUUGUUGGUAAACAAAUAUUUUGAGAUGAUUUGUGUAUUGGAUGCAAACGGCAUAUUUAAAUUAAGGAAAUGCUAAUUGGGAGGCAGGAUAAAAUUCUUAUUAAUGUCCAUCGAAUUUUUUUUAUUAAAAAUGUUUGAAUAUGUAAUGUGCAUUGGAGUUAACUAUGACAUAUUCUUAUUACGGGUUGGUUUUGUCGUUGAAACAAACAAGAACGUUAUAUUAAGUUCAAAAAACAAACAAGAUGUUAUGGAGUCACACAACACUAUUUCGUACAGAAAUGAUACCUCUAGUUUUUAAAUGUAAUUUUUUUCCUACAAUUUUGACAUCUUUUAAAAGGAUAGUCCACGUAUGAGACUAUGUUAUGAUUGCAUGGGUAAAUACUUUAAUGUACAAGACGUGAAACUUAAUGCAAAACUAUCAAUAAAGGUCGAUAUGAUUCUUUAAACCAAAAAAAGUUCGAUAUGAUUCCGACAAUAUUUUAGAUUUAUGACUUUGAAACCCAAAAGGAACAGACAUUUACCACUUUGAACCGAAAAUAGAACCCCCAAACUUGUUUUUUUCCUCAACGGACCAACGUUAAAUCCACAAAUUAAGGAAUUGAAGAAAAGAGGAGACAAAAAAACAAGAAAGGAAAAGGGAAGAACAUGGAUUUGUAAAUGGUGAAAAGAGGGACAGUCAAAGGUCAGAGAGGGACAAAUCAUUUGUUUAGUAGUUAUCAUAAAGUGUCGGACAGUUAAUACCGUUACUUACGAGUCAAAUGUCUCUAUUACGUUUUCACUUAUCACUAGUUAGUGGUAACUUACUUAAAUUACUUUUUCAAAAAAAAAAAAACUUACUUAAAUUACCCUCCCAUCAAUCGAUUUAUAUUUUCAAAAUUUCUGUAUUGUGAAAAAGCCAUGCAUUGUUGACGCAAUUUUUUGUUGUUGUUACUUGUCAACUAUUGAUACGUACUACUAACCAUGUUAUGUAUACAAUGCAUCUUUACAUAAACCUCUUUCAGUAGACUAAAUUCACAUUCAAAUCUUUUGAGUUAAACAUGUUUAAAUUGGAAAAUAUUGAGAAAUAAUAACAAUAAAUAUUUAUUGCCCUUUUCAAAAAUAAAAAUAAAGAUUUAUGGUUUUUAGUAAUUACUUGAACUAAAUUUGUUAAAACUUACAUAUACUUACUACUUAGGCAGAUAAAUGACAACUUUUAAAACAGUUAAAGGACAACUUUACGUAUACAGCAUGUAUGUAAGGAGUUUAUGAAGACAAAAGGAGGAAAGAAUCUAACUUAUAGCAAGAAGAGUGGUGAACGUAAGAUGGAGAGAGUGAACAGUCAAAAUACAUUCAUUCAUUCCUUUGUUUUUUUUUCUCUUUUAGAAAUUAAAAUUUAUGUCGUUUGUUUUUGGGACAUUACCUACGUUCAUUUCAACUCUUUCAACCUUUCGGUCAUCUCUAUACGAAUAUACCCCCAUUUGUUUUACAUUUUUAUUUUCUUUUAAAAUUUAUGAAGUUACAUUGGCGCCUACAAUUCAAAAGAUUUAGUUUGACUGGUUUACACCAUGUGAAUCCCAUAGGAUAAAUUAUAAAUAAUUCAUAUGGUUUCUGACGUAUGCGUUAUACAUACCUAUAUUGCAUGUUAAAUAAUGCCCUUUUCUGAGAUGGUGAAUAGAUAGAUAUGUCGAAUUUUUAGUAUAUGAAGUUGAAAUUAUAAGAAAUAUCCUAAAAGUAUUUGCAUCGACAUUCAUUUGCUAAGGAAAAAGGUUAAAAAUGUCUUCAAAAAAGGGUAAUGGACGUUUAAUAUAGGAUUAAGUAGCAAAGGAGCAAACAUGGAACAUGUUCAUCUCCUAUGAAUGAGGUGAAUAAGUCAAAAAAAGAAGAAGAAUAAGUCAAAGUAGGUCUAGUUGCUGGACCGGUUCUAAGGACAACCGGAUAAAAAUCCAUCUUAAUCCCAAUUUUUUUUAAAACUAAGAACUAUUAUACGUAGACCACAUGGUCCAUAUACUAUCCAUAACUUUUUAGUAAGAUAAACCUGAUAAUGUUUGCCAAAGCUCCUUUAGAUUAAUGUUUGACAAAGUGGUCACUAAUGGUUAUACAUCAUGAAGUCUAAGUUCUGAAUCUUAUAGAAGGCAAAAUUGUGCUGGAGAUUUUUUUUAUAAAAGAUGGAGCAAAAAAUACCAUAAAACGUAGAUCUUAUAAGUCGGUUCAAAGUGAUGCAGUAAAAUGUAAAUUCUUAUAAAAAAUAGAAUCAUCAAUUAUAUAAUCGUUAUAAUAUUUUCAUGGUUUGCAAUAGCAUAGCUAUUCAACGUUAAGAAAAACCAAAUAAUGUUUUUUGGCCAUAAAUUUUCGAUCCGGCUUUGUUGCGCUGUCCACGUACAAAACUAUGGCAUAUAUAAUUCACGAGGUUUGAAAUAGUGUUCCUUUUAUUUGUUUAGUUAGUUCUCAAUAUUUUUCUUUCAAAUGAAUGACAAGAGAAAUCGUAUGAGACGAAUAUGAGAGAUAGGUUAAGAAUCAGGAUGUUUUCGUUCACAGUAUAUAUAAGAAAUUAUUAUAAGAGAUUGUAGCUUAUGGAACAACAUUAAGGGUAUGACUGGUUUCCUCGCUGCCACACGCAUGCGGUUGGUAGCGGUUAUUGGCGUUUUGCAACAAUCACUCAAACCGCUCUAAAUCGUUUCAAACCUCAUAAACUCAAAACUGGCUUCAGCUAGCGUUUGCGGUUACGGGAGGAUAAUUUUUUUCAAAACAAUAUAAACAUAAAAAUAAAAAAUUCAAUAAAAAUUUUAAAUUGGAAUUAUAAAAAUACUAAAAUAUAUCUAUUUUAUAUUUUAAUUAAUAUUAUAAAAUUUAACUUUUAAAAUAUAAUUUUUAUAUUUAUUAUAAUAUUAUAAUUUUUUAUAUUUUUAUAAUUAUAUAAAAUAUAAAUAUUGUUAAUUUAUUAUUUAACUGUUGUUGCAUCUGAUAGUUAAUCAGUCAUAAGUAUCCUGCAAAUGCACCAAUUUCUAACUAUAGAACCAGUCGUACAAAUCUCUUAAAACCGCUAGAACUGUAACCAUCCGCAUCAGCAAACUCCUGCGACCGCAACCGCAACCGAUACAUUUAAACAAGUCAGGCCCUAAGACGAUAACGUUUGUGGGCAGCAUCAUUAGCAAAGAGAACUACGUCUAUUAGCAUUAGAAACAAGUGAUGCUCUUCAUCAUCAUCAUCAUCAUAAACUACUUCCAAAGUGUUAUUACACGUAUGUGGUAUGCCGUAUAUAUAUGCAUAUACAGUUCUUUAUAGUAACCUACAUAUAUAUGUAGGUGUAGCCAUCGCAAUAUCUAGGUGUAUUGUAUAUUAGGGUAUAACAACGAACUUAGUAGAGUAGUAUGAAAUUACCUUAAACUUGGUUUAGUUUGGUUGAAACGCGUAAUUAAUAUCUUAGUAUGAAACUAAGAGUAUACACUUUAAGCAAAUAACUAGAUUUUGAUCCGCGCUUUUAAAGCGCGGAUUUAUUUUUUUAUUUUUUAAUUGACAAAUAUUUAGUAAAUGUCGUAUUUUUAUAUAUUUGUCUUUUAUUUUUAUGAAUGCUUAAAUUAUAUUAAGAAAAUAAAAAAAUAAUAAUUAAGAAUAGUUGAAAAAAAAUUAUUUUAACUUGGACUCAAUGGUCCAAAUGAAAAAAAAAAAGUGAGAAUUGAAUCUGAUUUUUUAAUAGGUCCAAAUGGCCCAAGAGAGAUUUGAUUUGGGCUGGAUCCAAAAAUAAUGAUCCAAUAUAGAUUUGUUAUUAAUAUUACUUAAUUGCCCUUAAUGAAACAUGCAAUGUUAGUGAAGAAAACAUACCCCUAAGGUAAUUAUGACAAUAGGAUCCUGCUUUAAUAAUAUAGAUUGAUUUCUCUUGAACCAACUUGCACUCAAUUUGCUCAUUCAACUGCGUAUUGUAUUUGAUUCAAAUAGAUUGCUGUGAUUUUGGUGUUUUACGUGGUUAUCAAAUGUGUUCAUACUCAUAAGCGCAGAAGAUCAGAAAGCAAUAAACAAGACAGAGAAGAUUGAAUCAAAAUAAAGCGAAGCAGUUAAUGACAGCAUUCAGACAGACAAGAACAUGGUCUUCCUUACAAAUCUUAACUCUAUAUGUUUUUCAAACAAAAGACCAUCCGUGCAUCCAAGGCACAACAACACAUAGCUUAGUACGGUCCACCGAAACUGCCAUCCUCUCACAAAAACUGCUUCAAAGCGCCUGUUACAAUUUCCUUUACUCAGAUAAAUCAGUCUAUGAAGUGGUUAAUGCCCAAAAGACCCAUCUAUAAGAACAAUAGUAUAAGUCAUACCUCUCCAGAGAAUAGGAAGCCAUAGAUUGGUGCUCAAAACUGGCGCCUUGGAGGCCUAGCCUCAGCUUCAGACACUCUAAUCUGCCUCCCGUCCAAAUCCUACAACAGGGUACAAAGUAUAAGCACAUCAAGAAUAGUUUCAUUGAUCAAACUGUCGGAAUAAAAAAGAUACUUACAGCACCAUCCAAUGUUCUGAUGGCAUUCUGAACCUCUUGAGCAGAGUUGUAAGUCACAAACCCAAAACCUUUCGACCUACCACUGUCCCUGUCGUAGAUGACUCUAGCCUCAACAACCUUCCCUUGCUCCCCGAACAAACUCUCGAGCGCCAUGUCGUCAACACCCCACGAGAGGUUACCAACAUAAACACGGUUCCCUGAACCAGCACCACCACCACCACCUCCACCAUAUCCUCCACCAGAGCUUCCAAAGCUGCUUCUAGGUCCUCUUGAGAAGGAGUCUUCCCUCUUCGGUGGAGGAGGACCCGCGUUAACUCUCAACGGUCUACCAUCCAACUCCUGCAAACAAAACCCAAUAAGAACAACAAAACAACACAAAGGUUCCAACUUUUUGUCUUUAGCAACCACAAGUUUUUGUCUUUAGCAACACAAAGGUUCCGACAUAAGGUAGAGAAGUAAGUAUGUUCUUACAUAGCCAUUGAACAACACAAAGGUUCCAACUUUUUGUCUUUAAACGCAUACUUACAUAGCCAUUGAACUGCUGUUCAGCUGUCUCAACUUCAGAAGCUGAAGACAUAGUCACAAACCCAAAACCUCUGCUUCUCCCUGUCACCUUGUCAUAGAUAACCUAAACAAAGACAACAAAACGAACAAUCACUAAAACCAAUCUCAAACAACAACAACAACAACAACAAAAAAGAUUCAAUCUUUAUCUCAUUUCUCGAAAACCCAUAACUCAAUUUUGAGUUUUUGACUCGUUACCUCAACCAUCUCGACGUUUCCGGCGCUCUCGAAGAGCUGAGCGAGCUGAGCGCUGUCGACGUUAAAGGGGAGGUUACCGACGAAGAGCUUGAGGUCAGAAGAGAAGGAUUGCUCCCGCCGCGGGGGAGGAGGAGCGUCGUCGUCAGCGAAGAUGCCGUCUUCUUCGACUGAGAAGUCGUCAGUAACCGCGACGUUACGGACGAAGCGAGAGGAAGCGGCGGAGAUGGAGAGGGAGAGGGAGGCGGAGAGGGAGUGGAGAUUGAAGGAGAGGGAAGGAGGUAGGAGGGAAACGGAGGCGGGUCUGGAGAUGGAGAAAGGAAGGGACUUGGGGGUGAAAGUGGAGAGAGCGAGAGAGGAAGCUGAAGCAGCCAUGGUGAAGAGAUGAGAAGAGAUAAGGUUUGUUUUUAGCUUUAGGGGUUUUUGAGAGUGGAGAUAAGAUGGUGUGUUUCUGAUAUUUAUGGGCCAAAUGGGAAUAAAUAUCUUUGCACAAAAUAUCUCAUUCUGAUUUUUAUUUACAAAUUUUGCCUCAAAACUUUAUUUGAUUGCUAAAUAUUCUGCUGCUAAUAAAAUUUGUCAAAUUUCAAUGAAUUUAUCUUAACGUCAUCUCUGAAAAAAAGUAUGUAUUUAAAAAAAAUAUAGGUUUUCAUAAAUUUGUAGACAAUUUCUUUAGAAAAUCUUAAUUUUCAAAAUAUUUUGUAUUUUUCUCACUUUAGUGGUGUUAGUUAUCUUUUUAUUGGAAGUCUCUACUUACUACUUGUCAUACGCUGAAGUGAGAUGACAGAUGAGAUGAGAUCUAAGCCGUAGAGUUUUGGAUGGACAGUGGAGAUGGCACGUCUCAUGCCAAAACCAAAAGAAAAAAUCUAUAAGAUAGGAUUUUUUAACUAAAAGCCAAUGGAAGUAGCAACUCUCGUUCCAGCACAGAUCUUUAACUCCAAUAAAUUCAGAAAACAAUACAGUUCCUCUAAAGAAAACCAUUGAAUCAUACAAAGGUUGCUCCCUUCAAAACAAGUUAAUAAGAAAUGAUGUAUUUGGAUAACAACAGAAGACUGAAGUUCUUGAACUGCAACACGCUUUUAGGAUCUCUUCAAUUGGAGGGUCAUCUCGAGCUUCUUUGUCCUGAAAUGUUCCAACAAACAAGUUGUUGAGUACGAGAUUGUGAUUAAUUUAUCUCUUUGAUUACAUUGACAUGGUGUAAACACAAGUAUUUGAUCAAAACGUGUUACCUGGUCCAUACUCCCCGGUCCGAUCAAAACAAGAGAAACACCAGAUGCAUCCAUCACAUGCUAAGAAAACCUCAAAUGUAUCACUUAAUGAAAUGACCAAACCAUCAUCAAGAUUUUGACAGUGGGGUGAAUCAUUUUACCUUCUUUUACGACAAGCAAGCUUUAAUACCCAACAUAGUAGUAGUAACCAAACACAUUCACCAAAUCUAAUAAGAAACUUCUCCAAAAAGAUUUAACCACCCAAAAUGACGAGCAAAUGCAACAACAGCCUUCCUAUCCUUCCACAAAAUCAGAAAUCAACAGUCUCUCUCCCUGUUCCAGUUCCUGUGAAGAAGAACCGAUUCAAUCUAGUUUAUAAUCUUUUCAGCUUCUCCAAAACAGAACAGAUUCUAAAACUUACCUGAAGCGCCGGUAAUGGCCGACACUGCCACCACGUUACGCCGGAGAGAAAAAUCUACUGGAGAUGAGAACUGGCCAAAGAACCAAACUUUACUGUCCCGUAAACCCAUGAAUCGUUUUUCAUCUUCUGAUUCAGCGUAACGGGAGUGAUCGUCGACGAAGACGGCGAUGAGAGAGAAACCGCCAUUGUUGUUUUUACUCCGGGAAAGCCGAAAGAAAUAAGAAAAAUCCUAACUUUAACGUUUUAGUUAGAAAAAAAAAAUCAAAUUAAAAAAAAUCAAACUUUAAGUUAUUACACGUUGUAUAGAUGACGUAAGCAUUGUCCGAAACAGAAAAAAGUCAAACGCCACGUAAGCUCAGUAAGAGUAAAAUUUUUUGGAAAAGGUAGAUCUUUUUUAAAAGCGAACUAGAUUUUGAUCCGCACAUCCGUGCGGGUAUUCGUUUAAACUUUUAAAAACAUACAAUAGAUAUUUACAUAAAAUUGUUAUAUUAGCGUUUUAUACCAGCUCAAAUAAGAUAAGCUUUUAGCACAUAUAUAAUUAUUAGUAAUACUAUAAGUAAGUAAUUAUUUGAGGUUUAUUUAUUUUAUGUUAUUCAUGUACAUUAAUAUUUAAAAUUUUAAAAAUAGUUAUUAUAUAUAAUAUAAAUGGACUACUUAGUUUUGGAAAGGAAAAAAAUUGAUAUUUUUUAAUAUUUAUGGAAUGGUAAAAACUAUUUUAUAUUGAUUUUAUAUCAUAUCAUUCGUAUUAAUAUAUAUAUGUACAGUUCACAACAGGUAAAAUUAAUUAAUUUUUAACUUUAAGAAAGAUUUUGUUAAGAUAUAUUAUCAUUUGAAACAAUAAUUAAUAUUUCCAUAUAUAAAAGUAAUUGAUGGUAUAUUUUUAAGGAAGAUUUUGUUAAGUUUAACUAAUAUAGUGCUCUUUUGCGAAAUAGACACUUUUUAUUAAUAAUAUUUUAUACGUACAAUCAUAUAAAUAAUCACAUAUAUUAUAUUUUAAAAUUUAAUGUGAAAUAUAAAAGCUAUAAUUUAAGUUGGUGUUUGAAAUUGGGCUUUGUAUUGCAUUUUUUUUGUAGAGUUUUGGAUGGACAGUGGAGAUGGCACGUCUCAUGCCAAAACCAAAAGAAAAAAUCUAUAAGAUAGGAUUUUUUAACUAAAAGCCAAUGGAAGUAGCAACUCUCGUUCCAGCACAGAUCUUUAACUCCAAUAAAUUCAGAAAACAAUACAGUUCCUCUAAAGAAAACCAUUGAAUCAUACAAAGGUUGCUCCCUUCAAAACAAGUUAAUAAGAAAUGAUGUAUUUGGAUAACAACAGAAGACUGAAGUUCUUGAACUGCAACACGCUUUUAGGAUCUCUUCAAUUGGAGGGUCAUCUCGAGCUUCUUUGUCCUGAAAUGUUCCAACAAACAAGUUGUUGAGUACGAGAUUGUGAUUAAUUUAUCUCUUUGAUUACAUUGACAUGGUGUAAACACAAGUAUUUGAUCAAAACGUGUUACCUGGUCCAUACUCCCCGGUCCGAUCAAAACAAGAGAAACACCAGAUGCAUCCAUCACAUGCUAAGAAAACCUCAAAUGUAUCACUUAAUGAAAUGACCAAACCAUCAUCAAGAUUUUGACAGUGGGGUGAAUCAUUUUACCUUCUUUUACGACAAGCAAGCUUUAAUACCCAACAUAGUAGUAGUAACCAAACACAUUCACCAAAUCUAAUAAGAAACUUCUCCAAAAAGAUUUAACCACCCAAAAUGACGAGCAAAUGCAACAACAGCCUUCCUAUCCUUCCACAAAAUCAGAAAUCAACAGUCUCUCUCCCUGUUCCAGUUCCUGUGAAGAAGAACCGAUUCAAUCUAGUUUAUAAUCUUUUCAGCUUCUCCAAAACAGAACAGAUUCUAAAACUUACCUGAAGCGCCGGUAAUGGCCGACACUGCCACCACGUUACGCCGGAGAGAAAAAUCUACUGGAGAUGAGAACUGGCCAAAGAACCAAACUUUACUGUCCCGUAAACCCAUGAAUCGUUUUUCAUCUUCUGAUUCAGCGUAACGGGAGUGAUCGUCGACGAAGACGGCGAUGAGAGAGAAACCGCCAUUGUUGUUUUUACUCCGGGAAAGCCGAAAGAAAUAAGAAAAAUCCUAACUUUAACGUUUUAGUUAGAAAAAAAAAAUCAAAUUAAAAAAAAUCAAACUUUAAGUUAUUACACGUUGUAUAGAUGACGUAAGCAUUGUCCGAAACAGAAAAAAGUCAAACGCCACGUAAGCUCAGUAAGAGUAAAAUUUUUUGGAAAAGGUAGAUCUUUUUUAAAAGCGAACUAGAUUUUGAUCCGCACAUCCGUGCGGGUAUUCGUUUAAACUUUUAAAAACAUACAAUAGAUAUUUACAUAAAAUUGUUAUAUUAGCGUUUUAUACCAGCUCAAAUAAGAUAAGCUUUUAGCACAUAUAUAAUUAUUAGUAAUACUAUAAGUAAGUAAUUAUUUGAGGUUUAUUUAUUUUAUGUUAUUCAUGUACAUUAAUAUUUAAAAUUUUAAAAAUAGUUAUUAUAUAUAAUAUAAAUGGACUACUUAGUUUUGGAAAGGAAAAAAAUUGAUAUUUUUUAAUAUUUAUGGAAUGGUAAAAACUAUUUUAUAUUGAUUUUAUAUCAUAUCAUUCGUAUUAAUAUAUAUAUGUACAGUUCACAACAGGUAAAAUUAAUUAAUUUUUAACUUUAAGAAAGAUUUUGUUAAGAUAUAUUAUCAUUUGAAACAAUAAUUAAUAUUUCCAUAUAUAAAAGUAAUUGAUGGUAUAUUUUUAAGGAAGAUUUUGUUAAGUUUAACUAAUAUAGUGCUCUUUUGCGAAAUAGACACUUUUUAUUAAUAAUAUUUUAUACGUACAAUCAUAUAAAUAAUCACAUAUAUUAUAUUUUAAAAUUUAAUGUGAAAUAUAAAAGCUAUAAUUUAAGUUGGUGUUUGAAAUUGGGCUUUGUAUUGCAUUUUUUUUUAUAUAUUGAAAAUAUUUUUAUAAUAGUUAUUGGAAAAUAUGUUAGUAAAAAUUAAAUUUUGAAUAUAUGUAUACUUUUAAAUGAAUUUUUGAUAUAAAUCAAUUUUAAAUUAUUAUUUUGAUUUGAAUAUAUAUAUCAAGUAACAUAGACCCAUUAUUUUUUAAUAUAAUAUAAUAGACUUCCAAUUUUUUAGUAGCAUAAGCCUAAUAUGUUUUUUCCUAACUUACUACUAUCUAUGUUUCCAAACAAUACUAUUUUUUUUAACUACUAUCCAUAUUGCCAAACAAUCUCAGUGUGUACUUCAACUUUAAUAAUAUAUAUAUAUAUAGAUGUUCCUUCUUUGCACGUUUAAGGGAUCUCAAGCCGCUUCUCUCUCUCACACAUCUCUGAAAUGGCGAGAGUAUUGCGUGUGGCGAGAUCCUCCUCCUCCCUCUUCAGCUUCGGAAGCAGAUCUUAUUCAGCCGAAGCUAGCCACGUGUCCUCUCCCCCUCCUCCGUUUCUUGGAGCUCGCAGAGACGUUACCAAGGAGAGAAACGUGCAGUGGGUGUUCCUCGGUUGUCCCGGUGUCGGGAAGGGGACUUACGCCAGCAGACUCUCGAGUCUCCUCGGUGUUCCUCACAUCGCCACCGGAGAUCUCGUCCGUGAUGCGCUAGCUUCUUCCGGACCUCUCUCCCGACAGGUUCUUGUUUCACUUUAUGUCCAAAUGAAUCCCAAAACGACGUCGUUUUCUGUUUAAAUCUGCUAAAAGUUCAUGUGUCUACCAACAGAUCUAAUGAACUAGUGUUUGUUUUGUCCUAACGGAUCUGAUCCUUUUUCUAAUAAUAGUCAACGGCUCUCUCCUCUUGCUUGUAUUGAGAUUCUUAUUACUUGAUUGCAGCUAUCAGAGAUUGUAAACCAGGGGAAGCUUGUUUCUGAUGAGAUCAUAGUGAACUUAUUAUCAAAGAGACUUGAAGCUGGUGAAGCCAAGGGCGAAUCAGGUUUCAUUCUUGAUGGCUUUCCUCGUACCAUGAGACAAGCUGUAAGUUAAUUCAUUGACUUCACAUCAUAUUGAGCAAAGUUUUGAAUGAUUAAUCUUUGUGUUUUCAGGAAAUAUUAGGAGAUGUCACUGACAUCGAUCUAGUGGUGAACUUAAAGCUACCUGAGGAGGUUUUGGUUGACAAAUGCUUAGGGAGGAGAACGUGUAAUCAAUGCGGUAAAGGUUUCAAUAUAGCUCACAUCAACUUAAAGGGUGAGAAUGGGAAACCAGGAAUCAGCAUGGAUCCACUUCUCCCUCCACCUCAGUGUAUGUCAAAGCUCAUCACUCGUGCUGAUGAUACUGAGGAGGUUGUGAAAGCUAGGCUCCGUAUUUACAAUGAAACCGUAAGUCCUCUUUCUCUCUCUCUAUUGUUCUUCCCAUUUUAGCGAUGCUUGAUGCUUUGAAUGAUGUGUGCAGAGCCAGCCUCUUGAAGAGUACUACCGUAUCAAGGGAAAGCUGAUGGAGUUUGACUUACCUGGAGGCAUCCCUGAGUCUUGGCCAAGGCUGUUAGAAGCUUUAAGGCUUGAUGAUUACGAGGAGAAGCAAUCUGCCGCGGCGUAGUUCAACUACAACUCCGGUUUAUAAUUCUUUGCAUGUGGAAGACAUGUGCCUAUAUCAGUUUUGUGUUGGAAAAUAAAGAAAACCUUAGAUUGUUUUUUUUUAUUGCCUCAGAUCAGAAUAAUCAUCAUCAUACACACUUUGCAAACUAUAUGAUGUAUCAUGAUUGUUUAUGAGUUUGCUAGUUACAGGAAUGUAUAAACACUUUGGUACACUUUUGAUUAUUUAUUGUUGAAUGUGAUCAAUGAUUGUUUAUGAGUUUGCUAGUUACAUUACAUGAAUGUAUCAAUACUUACACUGCUUGUUACACAUCAGGUUUGAUGUUUGGGCUCUUGUGAUUAGUUUGUUUAUUGUUGAAUGUGUGUGAUAAUAUUGCGGCUGGCCGAGCUGGCUGGUUAAAGAACACAACCAGACAGUAAAGUAAAACAGUCGCAUACAUUAAAGAUUUUGUGGAACGUAUAACCAGCUCCUGUCUGUCCUAGAAUUGGCGGUUCAGGAUAGAACUGUUCCUUACAUACUGGAACUUCCAGUAGAAUUUGAUGCUAAUUGUUGGUCCUAAACUAGUGUGUAUCAGUUGCUAUGUGAUCUCAUAACUGGACCUUAUCUUAUGGUUUGUGCUUGAGGUUUCUGAGAAAUCGCUGGGUUCAUUUGAUUCUUCUGGUUUGACAAUUAGUUUCUUGUUAUGGACACGGUGAAAUCAGACUCAAAUCGGUGGAAUAAGACAGCCUCAAAGAAGGCAGACAUAAUCAUGUUUGCUCUUGAUUCAUCUUCAAUCUCAACAGGACAUUAAAAUCAAUUUGUAGCUUUAUUUUGUUAGUAUAUAGAUUUGAUGAAAUAAACAACCUUUAAAUUAUAAAUAUAAAGAUGAAAAUAUUCUUAAACAUGAAACCGUUUUGAUCAAGAUUCAAAAAAAACUUCAUUAAAAGAUAGGGACAUCUUCUGAAACAUAUCCAAAAAGCUCUAAUGAAAAACAGCAAGAUAAGGUCUUUGAGAUGUAAUGCAAACUCAAGGCCUAGGAAGAUCCUCCUUAACGGUUGGCCUUCGCAACUCUCUCAAUCUCAUCCUUCUUCUUGAUGGCAUAGCUGCAAAAAAACAAGACAAGAUGCUAUUAGUAUUUAGCAACAAACAAACACAAUUUGUGAACCCGCUUUAAGAGACAAGACAAUGUAAAGAUGUUUACCUGUUGGAAGAUCCCUUGGCAGCAUUGAUGAGCUCAUCAGCAAGGCACUCAGCGAUUGUCUUGAUGUUUCUAAACGCAGCUUCACGUGCACCAGUGGUGAGCAAGAAGAUGGCUUGGUUCACACGUCUUAGAGGAGAGAUAUCAACAGCCUGCCUCCUAACCACACCAGCAGAUCCAAUCCUCGUCGCAUCCUCACGUGGACCACUAGCUCACCAAUAAAACACACACAACAUUAGAAAAAAAGGUUUCUAGUAACACGCAAUAAAGAAUGCAACAUUGUUGUCUUACCUGUUGACAAUGGCAUCAAUGAUAACCUGAAUAGGGUUCAAGUCAGUCAAGAGAUGGAUGAUCUCCAUGGCGUGCUUGAUGAUCCUCACAGCCAUCAGCUUCUUUCCGUUGUUCCUUCCGUGCAUCAUGAGAGAGUUCGUGAGCCUCUCAACAAUGGGACACUGAGCCUUCCUGAACCUCUUGACAGAGUAUCUUCCAGCAGUGUGGGGGACAAAGGUCGCGUGCUUAGGAGGCUGAACCCCAAUGUAGUCAACAAGACUAAUGUCUGUGCCCUACCCAUUCACAAAAAAAAAAAACACAAGAUCAACAAAACAAAUACUAAGAACAUAGCCAUUGUUGCCAAUUUAAAUUUUAGAGAUCUAAUAUUCAAAAACAAACCAAACAACACAGAAAGUGUUGGACUUUAAGACAAAGAAACAUCAGGAUCAACCAAGUGUACUGAGACAAUAAAACAUGAAUUGAAAAUUAACAAAAAUAAAAACAAAAAGAGGACAUUUUUUCCGACAUAACUCCAUGAGUUAUAUCUAAUUCAGACAAUGUAACUAUUUUUUUGUAAUAGACCAAUCAUUUCAUUGUAGAAUUAGAUCCUAUAAAGAUUGCAAAUGAGCUAUCGUAAACUUACCGAAACGUCAUCAAAGCUCCAGCGAUUGAAGAGCUUGACCUCGUUGGUAAGCUGCUGCUGAAUCUCAGCGUCAAUCUCAACGGCGGCGGCCAUGGCUGGAAACACCAAACAUACUUACACUGCUUGUUACACAUCAGGUUUGAUGUUUGGGCUCUUGUGAUUAGUUUGUUUAUUGUUGAAUGUGUGUGAUAAUAUUGCGGCUGGCCGAGCUGGCUGGUUAAAGAACACAACCAGACAGUAAAGUAAAACAGUCGCAUACAUUAAAGAUUUUGUGGAACGUAUAACCAGCUCCUGUCUGUCCUAGAAUUGGCGGUUCAGGAUAGAACUGUUCCUUACAUACUGGAACUUCCAGUAGAAUUUGAUGCUAAUUGUUGGUCCUAAACUAGUGUGUAUCAGUUGCUAUGUGAUCUCAUAACUGGACCUUAUCUUAUGGUUUGUGCUUGAGGUUUCUGAGAAAUCGCUGGGUUCAUUUGAUUCUUCUGGUUUGACAAUUAGUUUCUUGUUAUGGACACGGUGAAAUCAGACUCAAAUCGGUGGAAUAAGACAGCCUCAAAGAAGGCAGACAUAAUCAUGUUUGCUCUUGAUUCAUCUUCAAUCUCAACAGGACAUUAAAAUCAAUUUGUAGCUUUAUUUUGUUAGUAUAUAGAUUUGAUGAAAUAAACAACCUUUAAAUUAUAAAUAUAAAGAUGAAAAUAUUCUUAAACAUGAAACCGUUUUGAUCAAGAUUCAAAAAAAACUUCAUUAAAAGAUAGGGACAUCUUCUGAAACAUAUCCAAAAAGCUCUAAUGAAAAACAGCAAGAUAAGGUCUUUGAGAUGUAAUGCAAACUCCUUACAUAGCCAUUGAACUGCUGUUCAGCUGUCUGAACCUCAGAGGCUGAAGACAUAGUCACAAACCCAAAACCUCUGCUUCUCCCUGUCACCUUGUCAUAGAUAACCUAAACAAAGACAACAAAACGAACAAUCACUAAAACCAAUCUCAAACAACAACAACAACAACAACAAAAAAGAUUCAAUCUUUAUCUCAUUUCUCGAAAACCCAUAACUCAAUUUUGAGUUUUUGACUCGUUACCUCAACCAUCUCGACGUUUCCGGCGCUCUCGAAGAGCUGAGCGAGCUGAGCGCUGUCGACGUUAAAGGGGAGGUUACCGACGAAGAGCUUGAGGUCAGAAGAGAAGGAUUGCUCCCGCCGCGGGGGAGGAGGAGCGUCGUCGUCAGCGAAGAUGCCGUCUUCUUCGACUGAGAAGUCGUCAGUAACCGCGACGUUACGGACGAAGCGAGAGGAAGCGGCGGAGAUGGAGAGGGAGAGGGAGGCGGAGAGGGAGUGGAGAUUGAAGGAGAGGGAAGGAGGUAGGAGGGAAACGGAGGCGGGUCUGGAGAUGGAGAAAGGAAGGGACUUGGGGGUGAAAGUGGAGAGAGCGAGAGAGGAAGCUGAAGCAGCCAUGGUGAAGAGAUGAGAAGAGAUAAGGUUUGUUUUUAG
Molecule: long non-coding RNA, 61121 nt
Filed under: Brassica napus (rape)
Lineage: Eukaryota; Viridiplantae; Streptophyta; Magnoliopsida; Brassicales; Brassicaceae
Description: long non-coding RNA (BNAP_LNC003746)
Source: RNAcentral